RNAcentral lists this long non-coding RNA (52764 nucleotides) under Lactuca sativa (garden lettuce). Its description in RNAcentral is "long non-coding RNA (LSAT_LNC001496)". The record is from RNAcentral. Lineage: Eukaryota; Viridiplantae; Streptophyta; Magnoliopsida; Asterales; Asteraceae.
AUGAAAGAACUAGUCUUCAUUUUAAGAGUACAUUGUGGAGGAAGAAGGGUUGAUAGAAUUAGCAAUCAUGCUUUGAGUCAUGUAUCUGUUUAUGAAAAAUAUAAUGAUUGUUUCAAGUUAAUAGUUUAGAAAGUAUAAUCAUAAAACUGAAGUUAUUUAAAAAAACAAUCUUUCUGCAUGUGACCUCAUUUUGUGAAAACAAAAUUUAUGCCUAUACUUUAAAUGGAUUUUUUUUGUCUUGUUAUAGUUAUAAAUCAUCAAACAAGCCAAAAAAAACGUGAGAUGCAGACUUUUUUUAUAUUCAUGUUCAUAUUUCAUAAUAAUGAUUGCCGGCAAGUUGAUGGUCGAUAGUUCUUAGUGUUUGAACCAAUCAAAGAGGUUUUAUGAUUAUGCACGAAUGUUUAAAUUUUAUUUCUAUUUCAUUAAUUUUUAUUUCAUAAUAAUGCUACCAAGGAAUUUUGUUGCUUGAUUAUUUAGGUGCUUGAAUAACAUGGUCAAAUUAUUAGAUAGAGUUAUUAGAGAGUUAUCAAGGCAAACUUAUCAAUGCAGGUGCAUGAUUAUUGGAUCAACACAAUUCAUCCAUAUACAUAAUUUUUAAUAGAAACAAUUAUCGCAUGUAAUUAGUUUCAAAGUAAUUAUAUACAAAAUGUUUAAACAAAAUAAUUAAUAAAAUGUUAUUCUUAAAUUGUUUAUCAAAGAUCUAAAAAAACAACUAAUAUGAAAUAUGUAUAUCUAAUUAACAACAUUAUUGUUUACCAGAUUGAACAAACCUAGAAAAUUUUCUAUACGGAACAAAUUAACUCAAAAAACUAAAUAUACUUGUACAAAUCAUACUUUAAUACCAAAAUUAAAUAAUAUAAAUAUUUACCUAGAACUUAUUCCACAAUUAGUUUUUAAAUAAACAAGCUUAUCAACGUAUAUUGUAGUUUUUGACAAUUACAAAUCAUCAUCAACACAAAUAUUAAUUUGAUUUAUUCUAUUUUUAUGGAAUAUAUAUAAAAACAUAAGUUAAUAGUAUUUUUUUAACAAAUAAAUAUAAAAAAUCAUUACUUUAUGAAAGAGUAUCAUUUAUCUUCAUCCCAAAGGGCAGAACAUGAGAAAGCUCUUAGACGCUAAUGGAGAGGGAGGAAGGAGAUUUGAUGACCGCCUGAGACUAUGCAAGAAGGCGAUGUUUCUCCGACAUUCUUCCUCUUCCGUUUCUUUUUUACUUUAUGUAAAUUAUUUAUUAUUUCCCUCUUUAAUAAUUUGACUUUCAUUGCUUCUUCUCUAUUUUGUGCAAGUCUUUUCCUCUGUUUUUAUCUAUAGACAGACUGUCUUUUUUAUUUUGUUAUAUGUUAUUUCUUUCCUUUUUACUUUUUCUUAGAUUUAAUGUUCGCAAGUGAUGAGAAUUUAUUUGAUUAUAAAAAAGAUUGAUUUUGUCAAAUCUGUUAGGAUCAUGCUAGAUCUGUUUUUAUCACAAGCAUCCUUAAUCAUUAAUCUUCAUCUCAUAAUAACAUUCAUAAGAGUACUAUAAAUUGUUGUAAAAAAACAGGGGGCCAUGGCCUCGCAUGACCUAUUAAGAGAUACGCCCCUAGGCAUGGAUAUUUUAAAUAUGUCUUGCUUAUCAUAGGUAAUUCUUUUGUGCACAAACAUAUAUGUUUACUUAAUAACAAAAGAUUAAAUAACUCUUUGACAAAGAAGUGGUUGUUACAAUGUGUGUAAAAUAAAAACAAUUUCUUCAAAGAUCGUAAGUAAAGAUAUGUCAAAGAUCGUAAACAAUACCAAAUAUUACCACAUAAAAACAAAAUGCAUUACCGAUUUCCAACUUCCAGUUGAUAGAUACAACUCAAGAAAAAUCAAAGUUUUGGCAUACUAAGAAACAAGAAUUACUUGCCAAUGAUUAAAGAAGUGGAAGAAAGAAUAUUAACAUACCUAUUUAUGUGCAAUUUUGAAAGAAUUCUUGGUGGAUAUGAUGCUUAUUAGGGAUAAAGGUUGGAAACGAUGAAAAAGUAAAGAGAUACGUAAGGGCACCACGGCUGUUUAUAAGAUGGUUUGAAGGGUAUUACAUGCAAAUAGCAAUAUAUGGUAAAUUUUAAUUGGAUUCAAAUUUUAUUUAGAAAUAGAAGAUAUGAAUAUUCAAACAAUCUAAUUAUCUCCACUAAAUCCGAAAGUAAUACAAUUUUUUGGGCAAUUAUAUGAUCUUAUAUGCCACCUAUAAUAAGAGAUUACCAUUCAAUUGGUUAAAAAUGGGUAAUUCUUUUUAUCCCUUAAAAUUAUAACCUGCAACAGAAAAUUUCAUAUAUUCUAUAUCCUAUUUUAAAUAAACUUUGAAACAUAAUAUCUCCUAUUUUCAACAUUGCAUUCACACAUCCGAUCUCUCAUAAACUAUUUGCAUAAAUUGAAGGAAAAAACAUCAACUGAAAUCAGUGUAUGUCCUUUUUAGUGUUUGUCUUUUACUCUGUUUGUAUGUGUGUAUACCAAUAAUUCUCUAUCUUGAUUAGACUAAGAAACCGUAGCAAGUUUAAAGCUGGCUCCAAUACCAGCUAUUUGCAUCAAAUAUGCUUCUAUGUUCGGCGACUGGUUUUAUAUGACUUUGCUUUGUCGACUUUGUUGUGGCUUUUGAAUUUGGUUCCAAAGUGUUCAGUUUCAGUCCACCUUGUUUCUAUAAUUCCGAUGCUCACAUCUCCCCAACAAAAUUUUCCAACAUUAAUAAUAAUAAUAAGAGCAAGAAUACAAGAUAAGAAAGUCAUAUGUAUUGAGAUGCAACAAAAAGUCGAUUGGUAAUUAAUAAUAUUAUGAAAUUGAUUUCUAUUUUUUUAUAACUAAUAAAAAAGAUAAGUCUAUUUGUUACAUAAUACAUUUUUACCCAACUAUAGCAUUGGACUUAUCAAUUUAACCCAAAAAAUGAAAGUAUAAUGCUAUAAGUUAUUGAACUACUAUGCUAAACUAUUGCACAAAUAGCAAUAUGAUGAUAUUGACGAGGCUACUUAAUUUUUUUGUCCCUUUCUAAAAAAUGAAAGUAAAAUGCUAAAAAAUUACAAGAAACAAAAGUACAAUGUCAUUUCAAGCUAUGAUGUAUGUAAUAAGUUUGUUAGAACAUGGAACAGAGACCAAAAUAGCAAAUAAUUUCUAAAAUUAGUUUAGUAACUAUGUGGUUGUGUUACUGUAUGUGAGUUUAAUUUCUAUUUUUUAAUUCAUUUUGUUUUAUUUUUAAUUGAAGCAUUAUAUGUAAGUUUAAUUUCUAUUUCUUAGUUCUUUUCAUUUUAUUUUUUUAGUAAAACCAAUGCACUUUCUUUUUUUAGGAUAAAGUUCCAUCGCAUUUUCAUUUUUUUGUCCCGUUUAAAGGAAAUCGAAGUAGGACGCUAACAAUUAAAAAUAAACAAAAGUACAAUGCUAUUUCAAGAUAUGGCGUAAGUGAAAAUUAUGUUGGAAUAGACCUAAGUAGUUUUUAUUUAUUGCAUCAUAUUUAACAUAAAUCAAAGCACAUUGUUAUAACUGGAAUUGGAAAAAUAUUGUUAGAGUUUUGCAAAUAUGUUACCAGUAACAUCAGAAGCAAUUGUUCAUAAAAGUAAGUUUAUAAAAGAAAUUUUCCAUUUCAGACAGGAUUAACCUAAAAAUGAAAAUCACAGAAUAUAAGAAAAGAAUUGUAAUGAUGAAAUUACAUAAAAGUAAGUUUAUAAUUUUCCAUUUCAGACAGGAUUGACCAAAAAAAACUGGUUAAGAGAUUUGAUUUGCUUACAUGGACAAUUUUUAAUGAUGUGGCAAUAGAAAUGUCCAUAUAAGAGUGUUAAUGUGUCAAAAAGGUGUCCAUCAGUAUAUGCUUAUGUAGAAAUUUCCCUUACCACAUCAGAUGUGACAUCAUUAAAAUUUGUCCAUGUAAGCCAAUUAAACAUGGCAACCAAUUUUGGUAGGUCAAUAAUGGCUGAAAUGAAGAAAAAAAAUCAUAAUGGUGUUUUAGCUAAAUGAUUGAUAAAAGUAAUGGCUUUUAUGUAAUUUGCCCUUUUUAAAAGCCCAGAAAAGAAGAAAAAUAAAACUACUCAAGCCGUUAAUGGAAAACAUCCUUGUGGAGUAAUCCAAAGAACCCACACCUACAGAUAAUAAUAAUAAUUAUUAUUAUUAGUAAUUAUACAACAAUGUUCCUUUUUUACCAAUUUAUGCAAAAAUGUUCCACCUUUUUAUAAUUAAUACGACAGGUGAGGAGGUUAACAGUGGAGAGAGCAUUAUUCUUCCAGUUAAUUUGAGAUGUGCGUUUUUUCCUCAAUUGGGGUUUUAUUCUUCAGGUCAGCGCUAAAAGCUCUUUUUUCCCUUUUGGCCUUGGAAUUUCGUUGCAAGGUUUUGUUACAUGGGCUAUUUAGUAUUGAGAUUGAAUAGUGUUUGAGACAAAAACAAUAAAAGGAUAGAUUUGAAAAACAAACUAGACCUAUAGCUUGUAAAUCUGCAGACAAACUAAAACCUAUUAGUUUGAAUUCGAUCAACUCAAGGAUCACGUCCGAAAGAUGAUAAUUUGUGAACUAUGAAAAUAAUUCAAAGUGAACAAAAGGGUUCUUUGAUAAAAAUUAGUCUAUCACCUUUUUCCAUGCAUAAACUUGGCCUUAUAUAAAGCCUUUAUUACAAAUUUGGUGGUUACAAGCCAACCAACCAAUUAUUCAUUAAAAGUAGUAAAUGAAAAUUAAGGAAACCCUUGAAAUAACACAAAAAAAAUAUCUACCACACUUAAGAAUGACAAAAAAAAACGUCCAUGUCUUCAAUUGCUAGUAAUUGGUUAUGAGAAGAUGUAGAGAGUGUAACUUCCAAGGAUUAAAGAGAGCCAUCAAUGAUACGAGUGUAACUCCCAAAGUUUAAAGAGAGUCAUCAAUGAUAAGAGUGUAACUCCCAAAGUUUAAAGAGAGUCAUCAAUGAUAAACGUGUAACUCCCAAAGUUUCAAGAGAGUCAUCAAUGAUAAGAGUGUAACUCCCAAAGUUUAAAGAGAGCCAUCAAUGACACCCUUCCAAAUGCUUCCAUAACCACCCAAGCUUUGAAUCAAACAAUCAAUGAAGUCUUGAAUUUAUUAAACUUUUAUUAAUUUAAUUAAGAAAACCCUAAUCCAUCAACUACAUCACCAUGCACACCCCAUAGGCCAUUAAGCCCAAACAACUUUCUAGCCUAAUAUUAAGCUACCCAUAACCUUUUGGGCCUUCAUUAUCCAUACACGGAUCAUUAAUGAACCGUGUAUGGAUAAUGAAGGCCCAAAAGGUUAAGGCCCAAAAGGUUAUGGGUAGCUUAAUAUCAGGCUAGAAAGUUGUUUGGGCUUAAUGGCCUAUGGGGUGUGCAUGAUGACGUAGUUGAUGGAUUAGGGUUUUCUUAAUUAAAUUAAUAAAAGUUUAAUAAAUCCAAGACUUCAUUGAUUGUUUGAUUCAAAGCUUGGGUGGUUAUGGAAGCAUUUGGAAGGGUAUCAUUUAUGGCUCUCUUUAAACUUUGGGAGUUACACUUUUUUUCAUUAAUGACUCUCUUUAAACUAUGGGAGUUACACUCUUAUCAUUGAUGACUCUCUUUAAACUUUGGGAGUUACACACUUAUCAUUGAUGAAUCUCUUUAAACUUUGGGAUUUACACUCGUAUCAUUGAUGGCUCUCUUUAAUCCUUGGAAGUUACACUCUCUACAUCUUCUCAUGACCAAUUACUAACAAUUGAAGACAUGGACGUUUUUUUUGUCAUUCAUAAGUGUGGUAGACAUUUUUUUUGUGUUAUUUCAAGAGUUUCCUUAAUUUUCAUUUACUACUUUUAAUGAAUAAUUGGUUGGUUGUCUUGUAACCACCAAAUUUGUAAUAAAGUCUUUAUAUAAAGCCAAGUUUAUGCAUGGAAAAAGGUGAUAGACGAAUUUUUUUAUCAAAGAACCCUUUUAUUCACUUUGAAUUAUUGUUAUAGUUCACAAAUUAUCAUCUUUCGGACGUGAUCCUUGAGUUGAUCGAAUUCAAACUAAUAGGUCUUAGUUUGUCUUCAGAUUUACAAGCUAUAGGUCUAGUUUGUUUUUCAAAUCUAUCCUUUUAUUGUUUUUGUCUCAAAAACUAUUCAAUCUCAAUACUAAAUAGCCCAUACACAUAUCAUAAGUGGUAUCAAAGCCCAGUUUCGAUUGGGUGUUGUUGAGAUCUUGUUCAAAAAAAUCCUUCUAGGUUUGUUUAAUUUUAGUUCCUAUUCAGAAAUUGUUUUCCAAAACAUGUUGCAUAAGUUAUAUUAUGAAGAAGAAAUAGAGGAAGAGAAUUUUGAAGAAGAGGAGGAAGAAGAUUCCGGUCCCAUCUACGACACCGAUGGGGAAGGGGAAUUUUGUGAAAGAAUAUAUUUCUUGUUUGAAGAGGAUCAUGAAGAAAUUGAAGAAGAAAUAAAUUUUGUGGCUGGAAACGAAAUUGUUGAAAUGUUUGUGAAAGAAAUAGAUUUUGUUGUUACGAACAAAAUUGUUGAAGAAAUGGUUGAAGAAUCAGAAGAGGUGGAGCAGGUUCUUGACCACGAAGAUGUGGUUGUGGUUAAGAAGGAUGAUACAUAUCUUAUAACAAACCUUCUUUCUAAGAGCCUAGAAGAAGGAAUGAACCAUCAAGUUCCAAGUUCCAAGCGGUUACAAGGGAUGGAGUUCAUAAUUCUUAUAUUCCUAAUCUUGUGGUGUACCUUUAAUUGGGAAACCAUGUUAUUGGAACAUGUUGGUCAUAAACCCACAAAUACAAACCAUGAUCCAUUAUUUCAUAUGACCAUUGUUAAUCCUUUAAGUUAUUACAAGGAUUAUUUACAAGGUCCUAAUCUUGUUCAUAGGAGUGCACAAAAGUGGUUUUUGAUCCACAAAUGGAAGAUAUGGUUAGGAUUGAAUUCAGCGAAUUCUUUGAGUUAUUUGAAGAAGAACAUGUACAUAGGGAAGAGGGACACUACAAGGCUGUUUGGAAUGAAUGCAAAACAUGUGGUUGCUGCUCCUAUGUUAAUAUGGAAAAAAUUCUUUUAUCUUUUCAAGUUCAAGAACACUGAUCGCAGGAUGAUCCUUUUAUGCAACACCCUAUCUAAUGAAGGUACUUUUUUCCAUGAUUUGCACUUUUCACUAGUGUUAAAAUAUAAAAUUGGAGGUUUCAAGCAUGGCUCGUGUCCCGGGUCAAAAGAGGAGCUCGUAUCAGCUAACCAUCUAAAAAUAAGUACACAUGGGUGGAAUUCAAAACCCACGGCCAUGUGGUGCAUCAAUCAAGAUCAAUGCUGGAAAAGGACUGUUAUUACAAACUUGUGAAUGGGUAUGUAGAGGGACAAGAAGAUAUUUUGGUUCGUUUCUAUGAUGGUUUGUUCAAAAUAGUGCAAGUAUUGAUUCAUACUUCUAUGGAUCAAAAAGAGAGUGAGAUUGAUGACAUAAGAGCUGCUAAGCCAAAGAAAAAGGUUAGUUUGAAAAAAGAAGAGUUGAGUGAUGAUACUUUCAAUAUGGCUAAAACUGAUAUUAAGAAGGGUAAUGUCAUCUUGAGAUAUCCUUCGUUUGAAAGAAGUUACCAACUUGGAGUAAAGAAAAGGUCACAUUCUGUAAUAAAUAUUUGUUUUCAAGACCUACUGUCAUGGAAGUUUUAUAUAGGAGAACAACUAAUCUGGUCCUUACUGAAUUGAGGACAAUUCCUUUCGAAGAAGGAGGGAAUGAUCCGUGUUUGGAUAAUGAAGUCCCAAAAGGUUAUGGGUAGCUUAAUAUUAGGCUAGAAAGUUGUUUGGGAUUAAUGGCCUAUGGGGUGUGCAUGGUGACGUAGUUGAUGGAUUAGGGUUUUCUUAAUUAAAUUAAUAAAAGUUUAAUAAAUCCAAAACUUCAUUGAUUGUUUGAUUCAAAGCUUGGGUGGUUAUGGAAGCAUUUGGAAGGGUAUCAUUGAUGGCUCUCUUUAAACUUUGGGAGUUACACUCUUAUCAUUGAUGACUCUCUUUAAACUUUGGGAGUUACACUCUUAUCAUUGAUGAGUCUCUUUAAACUUUGGGAGUUACACUCUUAUCAUUGAUGACUCUCUUUAAACUUUGGGAGUUACACUCGUAUCAUUGAUGGCUCUCUUUAAUCCUUGGAUGUUAAACUCUCUACAUCUUCUCAUAACCAAUUACUAGCAAUAUGAAGACAUGGACGUUUUUUAUUUUUGUCAUUCUUAAGUGUGGUAGACGUCUUUUUUGUGUUAUUCCAAGAGUUUCUUUAAUUUGCAUUUACUACUUUUAAUGAAUAAUUGGUUGGUUGGCUUGUAACCACCAAAUUUGUAAUAAAGGCUUCAUAUAAAGCCAAGUUAUGGAUGGAAAAAGGUAAUAGACAAAUUUUUAUCAAAGAACCCUUUUGUUCACUUUGAAUGAUUGUCAUAGUUCACAAAUUAUCAUCUUUCGGACGUGAUCCUUGAGUUGAUCGAAUUCAAACUAAUAGGUCUUAGUUUGUCUUCAGAUUUACAAGCUAUAGGUCUAGUUUGUUUAUCAAAUCUAUCCUUUUAUUGUUUUUGUCUCAAACACUAUUCAGUCUCAAUACUAAAUAGCCCAUACACGUAUCAUAAGUGGUAUCAAAGCCCAGUUCCGAUUGGGUGUUGUGGAGAUCUUGUUCAAAAAAAAUCCUUCUAGGUUUGUUUAAUUUUAGUUCUGUUGGGCUGAAGAUUGUUUUGUUGUUGCGUCUUUUGGGCUCGUUAGUUUAGCCAUGUAUACUCCGGUUUGGGCCUGUCCAACCGAGAACCUUUUAUGUAUUGUAUAUAAGUUAAUGCUUGCAUGCAUAUUAGGUUAAGAUUGCAGAGAUAAUCGACAUAGCGAUUCAUCUAGAGUACAAGAUUUUUCUUUAAUCGUUCUUGUAAUCUUCUAAUCCUCUAUAGUUGAUGUUCUUAAUCGAGCUCUUCUGAGGAUUUUGUUUAAUCGUUCGACACGUUUGAUUCAAGCUUUCUUGUUCUUAUUAUUGCGUUUUUACUGUUUUAUAUUCAUAUACUUGUUCAAGAUCUAAUCGAUCUUCAUAGAUUAAAGGUUAUUUUAAUCCCUUCAAUUGGUAUCAGAGCAGGAGGCUAUGUAAUCGAUACACAUCUGUUCUGUGAAAAAGAUUUCCAUUAGGGUUUUCCGCAAUCAUCGUUAUUUAUUGAGCCGUCAUCUUAAUUGACGUAUCUUAAUAUUUAUUGUUUUGCCCUAAUCUGCUUUAUUACAAGUCUGAUCUUUGAACAGGUUUUUACGAUCACAAUGGACGCGACGCAAUCAAACCCUAUUAAUAUUUCCAACAGCAUCGGUUCGACGACAAAGAUUCCAAUCUUAUACACCCAUGACUAUGAAGUAUGGGCGCAUCAUUUUGAAGAUUACAUGAUUGGAUCAGAGGAAAAUGGUUACCUCAUAUGGGAAGCCAUCAUCAAUGGACCGUUUUCUCAUUCUGCAACAUCCAGAAUCAUAAAGUCCCAAGAAGGAACCGAAGGCAGAUGGCGAUUCCGGAGUAAGCUGUUUCUACUGUGGUGGCAAGAACCACUAUGCUAAGGACUGUGUUCUUAAGAAGAUGGCUGAAAAGGACGAUGGAAAUGAUGAGGAAGUCGUGCUGCAGAAGAGAUUGGAUGAGUUGAGAAAGAAGAAGUUUACCGCUAACCCUUCUAUUAAUGCUCUUAUUGUGCAGGGUUCGGUUAAUGACGAUGAGUUCGGUAGCACAGAAGUUUGGUCUACCGACUCAGAAGACGAAGAAGUGAGGAAGCCUACACAUGGAAAGGCGUAUGUGGCUAAGGAGGAAAGCAGUGGAGGAAAAUGCUUCAUGGUGACUGACGUAUCUCAAAUGAGGGGAUACAACACCGAUGGAGGAAGCGAUGGACCGAAGGUACAGGAGGAUAUGUGCUUUACGGCCAAACCACUCAGCCAGCAGUUCAAUGAGCUCGAUGAACUGAUAAAGAAGGUACAAUCUGUUUUUAUUUCAUCUAAAGUACCACCAUCCUCAUAUGAGAAAGAACUAAAAAAUGUUAAUACAAGAAUUUCUCAUUUAGAUAGUAGCUUAACUCAAACUCGAGUCACCAAUUCUAACCUGACUGAUCAAUUAAGCAGGGUGGCGUCGAAGAGUGAGGAGCGGCGAAUGUGGAUUGAGUUAAAAGAGUCGGAAUUAGUUAAAGUUAAAGACGAAAACAUUUAUUUGCAGAGAGACAAUUUAAAAUUGUUAAAACAACGAAAUGUUUUUUGUUUAAUUGCUAAACGUUUAUAUUCCAAUAUUACUCAACUUCACUUGGACUGUGAGAUAGGCCAAAAGAUCCAUCGCAUGAUUUUGCCCUUCCUAGAGUUUAAGGAGGAUGAAAUCGAUGCCGAAGCCUACAAUUGUGAGAGUGUGAUAUCGUCUGAUGAUGUCAAUCCGACCUACAUGUAUGGACUGGACAAAAUUGAGUCCUUCAUUAAAUCCAAAGACCACAAGGACAUGCUCAAAAAUCUUUUGGACGAAAAUGACAGACUUAAACUGAGAACCGAAACCAUGCAAAAAUUUGACUCUCUAAACGCCAACGUAAGCUCAGAAAACAAAAUCGAUGUUGAAAAUGCAUCUGAGCUUAACGAGGACGAAAACAUGAGUGAAAUUUCUGUAGAGGAUACGGUUGACUGCUCAGAAUUUGUUAAAAGCGAAACUGAAAACCACAAAAAUCUUAUUUCUGAAAAUUCUGUGGAAUUCGCUAGAUUGUCCCAACAAAAGUCCCCGAAAUUAGUAGAAAAAGCUGUUGUGUAUCAAAAGGUCAGGACCACUCCGAAUCAAGUAUACAAGGUGACUGGAGUAACCGAACAUCAAACAGCUGAACUCACAGCUAUUGUUAACGAAGACAAUGCUGAUGGCUGUGAUGAGUACUUCUGGGAAGCUCCUAUUGAUAAUGCAAACGAAACCGUUGGCUUGUCUGAAAGAACCUCCUGGAUGAGCAAAGGAAGAUACAUCCCUGAACCAUUAAAUAAGCCGGAUAACUUCAAUGAGCCAAGUACCAGUGGUACGAAAGAUAUUCCUCAGGAGAAUGAUCAUUCAGCAAAAGAAGACAUUCCCUCUACUCCAACAGCUCAAAGUGAAACUUCAUCAGAUAUUCCUUCCACUUCCUCAGUGCAAACUGAAUCUUCUUCGGAUAUUCCCUCUGCUCCCUCGGCUCAAAGUAAAACUCCUGAAGUUCAAAAGGAACCAGCCAAGGUGACAACAAAAACGAAAGCGAACGUUCAUCAUCAACCUAAGCAGAUGAGGGAUAAGAAGAUAGAAAGGAACCAAAGAUACAGGAAAAACCUUUCUGAAAGGAAACAAUUCUGGCACUCCCAGAAUGCAUACUAUUCACACAAAGACAAGAAUCUGAAGUAUGAAAACAAUCCUGUAAGAAAGCCUGAAAGUUCCAACAACCGAAAGCCAAGGUUCGGUUCACAAGAAAAUACCAACCGAAAGCAAAGGUUCGGUUCUGAAAAGGAUUUCAACCGAAACCAAAGGUUCGGUUCCAAGAACAACUCCAACCGAACACAGAGGUUCGGCUCAGAAAUCAAAAGAGAACAAGACUCGAAGGUCAGCCCCUCCAACGAUCAAAAGCAAAAGGGUCACCUAGAGUCAUCAGCCAGGAAGUCCUCUCCAUCCAAAUCCUCUCUUCCUAAUUCUUCUCGUUCUUUUACUUCCACCCAUUCAUCUCCAUCUUGCUCUAAAGCUAAUUCCGUUUGUUCUCAAAAACCUCAUUCAUCAGCUGAACAGAAGGGAAAGCAGAAGGUCGAUGAAUCCAAACCAGAGUCCAAAACGAACACACCCAAUCCUAACAAAAUAAAAGUCUUUACCAUUAAAAAGAAAGAUGAAACAACUCUAAUAAAACGAACAUAUCUAGUUGACAUCUCUCUUACUAUUCCCGUUCCCAUGAAAAGCUCACAUGGACCCAAGAAACUUUGGGUUCCUAAAUCUGCUUAAUUUUUGCAGGUUAUAAGUGACGAGCAGUUUGACGAAGAAUGGUACAUCGACAGUGGCUGCUCGCGUCACAUGACAGGGAGGAAAGAGGAGCUCAGGGAAUACAGAUCUCUUGCAAAUGGUGGCAACGUUAAGUUUGGAAAUAACUCUUUCGGCACCAUAAAGGGAUACGGGAUGAUAACGAAUGGUGACUUUACAAUAAGGAAGGUGGCUUAUGUGGAAGGACUCCAACACAACCUCAUCAGUGUAUCUCAGCUUGUUGGAGGUACAGGUCUCAAAGUUUCAUUCGAUGAUGAAGGUUCUGAAAUCAUAGAGAAAAAGACAAAGAAAGUGAUUCUGAAGUCAGAGCGAAAGGGUGAAAUGUUUCCUCUGAACAUGAAACCCAUCAAAGGAAACCCAGCCAUAUGUCUGUUAUCAAAAGCUCAAUCCGACGAAAGCUGGUUGUGGCACAGAAGACUCUCUCAUCUCAAUUUCAAAGAUAUCAACCGACUUGUCACUGGAGGUCAUGUUAGGGGUCUUCCAUUGCUCAAGUUCGACAGAGAGCAUUUGUGUGCUGCAUGCGAAAUGGGAAAGCAGAGUCGUCAAAGUCACCCAUCUGUAAUCAACACAAAAGUUGUUGAACCACUCGAAUUGCUUCAUAUCGAUUUGUGUGGUCCUUCAUCUAUCGAAAGCAUCGGUGGUAGCAAGUAUAUUCUUGUUAUCGUUGAUGACUUUUCACGAUUUACAUGGGUGUUCUUUCUAAAGCUCAAAUCUGAAGCGACUCAAAAGCUGAAAGUGUUUAUCAAGCAAAUUGAAGUCCAGCUCAAGAAGGUCGUUCGCAACAUCAGGAGCGACAAUGGUCUCGAAUUCAAGAACAGGGAGUUUGAAGAGUUUCUUGCAGAAAAGGGAAUUAGUCACAAUUUCUCAGCUCCCUACACACCACAACAGAACGGAAUAGUCGAAAGACGAAACCGAUCUUUGUGUGAAGCUGCCCGAACUAUGCUAAGUUUCGCUUCCUUACCUCUUUAUUUUUGGGCUGACGCUAUUUCUGCUGCUUGUUAUACACAGAACAGGUCCUAUCUCAACAAGCGAUUCACGCUCACACCAUAUGAGAUAAUAAACAACAGAAAGCCCAAUGUGAAAUUUUUCCACGUUUUUGGCUCAAGGUGUUUCAUCUUUAACUCUAAAGAACACCGCAACAAGUUUGAUGUCAAAGCCGACGAGGGAAUCUUUCUGGGUUACUCACUCACUUCAAAGGCGUACAGGGUCCUAAACAAACGAUCAAGAAGGAUUGAAGAAACAUACUAUGUGACCUUCGACGAUAGCUAUGUCAAGAAGCUACAGGCCAUAAAUGACACUGCCAGGGAAAUCUUCCCUCAAACUGGUCAAGUCACAAUCUCAAUCGCCAAUAUGUACGAGAAUUUUCUGGAUCUCUUUGAUGAACCGGAAAAAGCUUCUCUCUCAGAAGCAGGGGCAGCCGACAACAAAAUAGAUCAUAUGAAGAAGAUUGUCGAAGAUGCUGCAAGAAGAAUGCAUGAAGGAGAAUCGCCUACUGAUGAAUCUCCAACCAACAAUGCUUCAGUCGAGGGGGAGCCAAGUUCUCUUGUCGAGGGGGAGCCUAGCUCACAAGUCCAGGGGGAGCCAAGCUCUACUACUUCAACCGAAGGUCCUUCAUCAACCGAAGGUACCUCUCCAACCGAAGAUGCCCCUCCAAACGAAGGUGCUUCAAUGCCUGAAAAUCCAGCACCACAAGAAACCCCUGAACCUCAUGUUUGUCAAGACUCAUCAAUUGAGGGGGAGCAUGAUGAUAUGACGCUUGAUUUUGAUAGCCAAUCCGAGCCUGAAGAGAUGAUCAACGCUGAACUAGAUCCAUCCUUUGAUCCGAAUUACCCUCCUCUUACAAAAUGGACCAGAGAUCAUCCUAUCUCUCAAGUAGUUGGUGAUGUAUCUGAAAAGGUUCUGACCCGAUCUCAACUGAAGGCAAAACAGACAUCCUUAUUCUCAAAAGUUGAGUUUUGUAUGUUUAACUCAUUUGUAUCAAAAGUUGAACCGAAGACAGUGAACACUGCCCUCGAUCACUCUGAUUGGGUUCAAGCUAUGCAAGACGAACUAAACGAGUUUGAGAGGAACAAAGUCUGGCGCCUCAUUCCAACUCCUCCGGAUGCUUCAGUUGUUGGUCUCAAAUGGGUUUUUAGAAACAAAAUGGACAAGGAAGGUAAUGUCAUAAGAAACAAGGCUCGCCUGGUUGUCAAAGGAUACUGUCAGGAGGAAGGGAUAGAUUACGAAGAGACGUUCGCUCCAGUAGCUAGGCUAGAAUCGGUUAGAAUAUUUCUGGCCUAUGCUGCUCACAAAAACUUUGAGGUCUUCCAAAUGGACGUCAAGUGCGCAUUUCUCAAUGGAGAACUUGAAGAAACGGUGUAUGUGGAGCAACCUCCUGGGUUCGUGAACGAAAAGUAUCCAAAUCAUUGCUACAUUCUGGAUAAAGCUGUGUACGGCCUCAAACAAGCUCCGAGAGCCUGGUAUGAAACGCUUACAAAAUUUUUAAAGAUGUCCAAAUUCAAACAAGGUUCGGUUGACCCAACCUUCUUUCGCAAAAAGGAAGGUAACCACCUUAUGAUAGUUCAAAUUUAUGUCGAUGACAUCAUCUUUGGCUCUACGAAUCCCAGCUUAACAGCUGAAUUCAGAAAGUUGAUGGAGACUAAGUUUGAAAUGAGCUCAAUGGGUCCUAUUAAUUUUUUCCUUGGUUUAAAUAUAAGACAGGGACCCGAAGGCAUCUUUAUCAAUCAGGAAGCUUACACGAAGACUCUCCUAGCAAAGUUUGGCAUGAUGGGAGACUCAAAAGUCAAAGUCCCUAUGGCAUUCGGCACCAAACUUACCCCUUCACUAGAUAAACCGGCCGUCGACAUCACGCUCUAUCGUCAAAUGAUAGGCUCACUGAUGUAUCUAACUGCUAGCAGGCCUGAUAUCAUGUUUUCUGUAUGUUAUUGUGCUCGAUUUCAGGCUAACCCACGCGAACCUCACAUGCUGGCAGUGAAGAACAUCCUACGCUAUCUCAAGCGAACCGCCUCCUUAGGUCUAUGGUAUCCAUCCAACUCUGGCUUCUUCGUUCAAGCCUAUUCUGAUGCUGACCUUGGAGGAUGUGGACUCGACCGCAAAAGCACAACUGGUGGCUGUCAAUUUCUUGAUGGGAAGUUGGUCAGCUGGCAAUCCAAGAAACAAACAUGUGUGUCGCUGUCUACUGCUGAAGCGGAAUACAUUGCCGCUGCAUCCUGCACAUCACAAGUGAUUUGGAUCCAGAGUCAACUUCGAGACUAUGGACUCAAUAUGAAGAAGAUCCCUCUAUAUUGUGACUCUGAAAGUGCAAUUAGGAUCUGUCAUAACCCGGUGCAACACUCUAAAACCAAACACAUAGCACUGAGGUAUCACUUCAUCAAAGAUCAUGUGGAAGAUGGAAAUGUCGAAGUUCACUUCGUAAGAACCACUGAUCAACUGGCUGACGUCUUCACCAAAGCUCUUCCAGAAGCCUCAUUCAAUAAAAUUUUGCAAGGACUAGGUAUGAUGGAAUCAGAGUCAGUACCUCACACUACCUCUCAAUCUCAAACGUAAGAAGCGAAACCAACCGAACGUUCGGGUUCGGUUCAACCAUUUCACUCGCUCAUUACUUCAAAGGUAGUUUUUCUGUGUUGUAUAUUUCUUGUGCAAAAUUUGUUUUUCUUUAUGUAAAAAGUUUUUUUUUUUUGCAUAUCUAAACUCCUUGGUUUCUUAAAAUUUUCCAGAAACCGAAACCUCCAGAAGGUUCGGGUUCGGUUUUCCAAAAUUUUGUUGAACCGAAACCAACCGAAGGUUCGGGUUCGGUUUUUCAAAAUUUUCUAGAACCGAAACCAACCGAACGCUCGGGUUCGGUUUUUCAACUUUUUCCCAACCAAAACCAACCGAACGUUCGGGUUCGGUUUUUCAUUUUUUCCAAAGUUUUUUUUUAUUUUAAGUCUUAUUUUUUUUUUCUCUCUUCUAUUUUUUUAUUUUUUUUAUUUUUAUUAUAAAUUUCAAAAACUCCAAAAAUAUUUUAUUUAUUUUUUUUUGUGUGCUCAUUCGUUUAUGGGGAUAUAUUUGAUGACUUACUUAAGUGUCCCUAGAAGCAUGCUGCUGUAUGUGUCCCAAGCCUCAUAAGAUUUUGAAUAAUAGCCUUCAUGACCUGGUAUACACAAACCUUGUCUUCCCAAUAAGGCUAACACAUUUAUUCUAAUCGUGAGCUACCUCACUCUCUUCUCACAUGAGUUAAGAGUUUCCUGUUUGGUCCUUAUUUUCGCAGCAGAGGUACUAUGUUUUCUUACACCAUCCCCAUUACACUUCUCCAUUACAUUCGUUUCAUCACUGUAACCCUUGAGACUCUCAGAAACUACCACUGAGGUUUAUGGUUAUACAACAUCUGUGUUUAUGAUCUUAGUUUCGUGCCACUACGAGCUGAGUGAAACCCAAAAUUCAACACCAACGAAUUGACGGUGACCAAUUAAUUUGAUCAAGUUUUCACCAAUGAAUUGGAGAAUGUACCUUCAUGGAAUCUCAAUUUUUCUUUUGCGUGAUUUCAACGAAAUUGUUACACACCAUAACAUUUCUUCCCAAGGGAUCCAGUUUUAAAUUUUUAUCUGAGAUUUCAUAUUAAUCCAAGCCACUACAAAAUCAACUCCUACCUACUUGUUCAACAGACUACACCGGUCUCACAAGUACUUUGUUCACUUUCUUUCUUAUAUCAAGAAUUGAAUUGAUGAAUCCAAGCGAAAACACCCUUAAUUAGCCUAAUUAAAAAAUGCCUUUGAACAUUUAUUAAUAAAUGUUUGAUCGUAAUUCAACGGGAUUCCACACUAACACUUUGAGGUCUCUCUUGACCUUGAAGGAAGAGAUUCGUGCCCGGGAUCAUCAGUUUCGUGUCAUUAUUGACAUCACACAUUAUCCUAAAAAGAGUUGCUUUAUUUCUUUUUCAUUUACACUCUUUGCACGAAAAUCCUAGAUUUUCAAAACUUCUGUUACUAAUUAUUUUACAGGUUGGAUUAUUACUGGAUGGUUAAUAAUGAAGUUGUGGUCAAAAACUAUCCACGUGGUUCAUUUAUUCUACAAUGCCGUUUAAAAGGGAUAAGACGAAAGGUUGCUGACGCGGCAGGAGUUCAAAGGAUAAAUAUUCAAACGACGAUAAAAAGGAGGGCGCGUGAAUUUGAAUCGGCCGCGCUUUUUCUGACACUUCUGGACGCGUGUGCGAUAUUGAAACGUCAUCAAUCCGGCAUUAAAGGCGCGUGUGGAAAUGGAAACGGUUCUUCUCUCUGAACCGGCGCUUAUUGGGCGGCGUAAUCCUAGGAAUCUGACACUCUCUCUCCUACGUGAUCAUCGCACGCCCCAACUGUCACCAAUCAGUCACUCAAAAAACCCGCUUCGUAUUUCCAUAAGAGAUUUGAAACGAUUUUUCUCUCUCCUAUCACCCACUAUAAAAGGCCGUCAACACCACCUUUUACCUCUUUACUGCCUCCAUAAUUUCCAAAGCAAAAAUACUCCCAAACACUCUCCCGUUCAUCUUCUUCUCCAAACCUGCAACAAUGGCUGAAUCUUCUUCUGUUCAUGCAACUUCUCAGAUUCUUCCCAUCCGACCCCAACAAUGCCUAGUCAUUGAUCUGAACCCACUGGCGUAUGAUUCCUACAUGUCGCCGGUCAUAGAAUGCCUCAAGUACUCCCAGCUUGCUCCUGCACUGUCAAGAAUUGAAACGGUGCCAAUGGUGGCCUUAUCACAGGUCUAUGCGACGGCUUACUACGACAAGGACAUCGACCGGGUAUUCUUUGAAGUGGCAGAACACAAGACUUCGAUUUCUCGCCCCCGUUUCUGCACUAUGUUAGGGUUUGCUGCUGACCCAUCGCGAGUUCACCCGGAGACGAUUCCGGUUGGGAUGUUGUACAACAUGUUUUACAACAUGGGCUACACAGAGGUUCUCACCUCCGUCGCCAAGUUUAAGAAGUCCUGCCUACCGCCCCAGUGGAAUGGGUUAUUUACAGUUCUCUUCAAGGGACUGUCAGAGAGGAGCUCAGGAUCUGACGGUGCAAGUCGUCUUUUCCUUUCGAUAAUGUAUGGGGUGUACAAUGGGAUAAACCUGGACUAUGGGUUUGUCCUUUGGCAACAGCUGAUUCAGAGCCUCUCUUCCUCUUCCCGACACUCUGAGGUGUCGUUGGCCCGGUUCUGGAUCUUGAUCACAAGAUGGGCCAUGGACAAGUUCAAUGUUCCAACUGCCGAUGGUGCAUCGAUGUCUUCUAUUGGUACGUUUCAUACCAAGAAGAUCAUCGUAUCCGAUGCAUCAAAAUUCUCAUUCAUUGGCUCUAUCCCGGAGUCGAUGUAUGCCGAUGUGCCCGCCGAUAGCAGACUGAUCAGGACGAUCAAGGAGUUUAGGCCAACUGGUCCGAGGGAACUGACACCGGACAUGCUGCGAUCGAUUCAUGAUGCCGAUAAACCGGUGGCCAGGGGCAAAAAGGCAGAGAAGGGGAAGCAAGUGUCCAAAGCUCCAAAGGGACCUUCUCCCAAGAAGCGAAAACAACCGAAGGCUGCUUCAUCCCCACAGCCGAAAAGGAGGAAGACCCAACAGAAGCGAAAGCUCGUUAUUCCCUCCUCUUCAAGCGAAUCCGAAGGUGGGAGUUCGGACUCUGAAGGAUCACAAGGAGACGAAUCUCCUCAACGAGGCAACACACCACCUCGGUCCCCAACCCCAGAGAUGGAACUUCAUCAAUCCCCAGUUCCUUCACCUCCACCCACAAUUCCUAUUUCCAUUCCCACCAUAAACCCCACUAUUCCCCCAACCUCAUUCCCUAUACCUCCACCCAUAUUCACCACAUCAACCGAAACACCACCAGUUACCGAAACCCCUCCUGUAACCGAACCACCACAAACUCAAACACAUACAACCGACCCUACCCAUACACAACCACCACCUGAAACUAACCCCCCACCCACUCAACCUGAACCAACAAAACCCAUAACACCCCCAGCUUCACCACCACCUCAAUCUCCAGAAGACGCCUCCGAUGGCGGUGAUCAAUACCUUGGUGGUGAUCACAUGAACUUCGAUUCGGUCUACUAUAGUCCGUUUCAAGUUCAGAGUGAUGAGGAGGAUGAUGCUCCAGUGACAAAGAAGCAUCUUCGCGAGCUUAACGAGAAGGUUGAUCAACUUCUCGCCUCCUCUUCCAACCAGCAGUCAUCUUUGUCUGAAGCUGCCCUUCAGAAGAUCGUUGACGCCUUCUCCAGGGCUCAACAUGAUUCCGUGGCCUCAGCAACUGCUGCUAUCGACGCCUCCACCCGAGCCUGUGAGGCAGCGACCGAAAAAGUCGAUAAACUAUUCAAUGACGCUUCUGUCCUGCUGCAGUCUUUGCAGGAGAGCGCCGAAGCCACUAAGACAACUCUGGAACCAGUUGUUCAACAAUUGGCCAAGUUUGUCUCGACGGAGCUGUCUUCGUUCGCUACUCUCAGACAACAUCUUAGCGACGACAACUCGGCACUUCGUGCCUCCAUCGAUGCCCGCCUGGCAAAGCUACAAGAGGAUCUUGCGGCAGAAAAUUCUCUGAUGGACGUCUUGGCGAGUAAGACUACCGCCCUUAAGGUCAAGAGCACGCAGCUUUCCAACUCCCAGCAACAAUUGGAAGCUCUUCGAUCCGAGAGGGAGGUCAUAAAGACGUGUGUUUCGGAUGUCCACGCAGCUCUAUCAAACAUCCUGGAAGCACACGACCCCAUCCUUAACCACUCAGUGAGGCGUACCCUCGCUGAAAAACUCUCUCCGGCCAUGGACCUUUUAAGCAAAAUUGAAGGCCUACCGAGUUUCGUGUCCAUUCCGAAACAAGGGGGAGAUGAGAAGAAAGGAUCGAAACCACCUCCUUCCUCCAAAGCUACUCACACAACCGAACCACCCCCAACUGGUCAUGCCUCGGGUUCGGGUGUGAAGAACAAGGGCAAAAACAUAGCUGAGGGAGGAGAUGAAGAUGAAGAUGAAGACAAGGAGACCAUUGCGGACAUGUUAAAAAGAAAGAACAGUCGCAAUGCUGAAGACGAUGCCAGUCGUGUGGCGCGUGAGGCUGAAGAAGCCGAACGAAAGCAAAAAGAAGCCCACGAUCUCCUUGAGAGCCGAAAGUUGCUCUUCCCUGCCUGGACCAGGGAUCGUAUGAUAAAAGAGGCCAUAGAGACUCCAAGCAUACUAUGGCUCGAGCCGGUGAUAUCAUUCGACUGCAACAACUCUAUCGAUUCGCAGUUUGAUAUGCCGCUGACUCGAAAGGCGUUCAUCUUCCACGCCUUCUCUAACAUUUUUGAAGUCCCGCAUCCGAACGAUGAGCUUGACAGGGAGCUCAUUGACUUCUACCUGGAGGCCGCUCGCCCUCAAUACCUUACAUGGAGCGCCCAGAAGAUUGUUAAUGUUCGGGUGCUGAAGCCUUAUGCCGUGGGGAGAUUCACAAACGUUAAGUUCAAGCUUAUUCGUGGAUCUGCAAGAACUGCUCACAUUAUCACCCUGGCGGAUCUGCCGAAUCUGAAUCCUCAUGACUGGAUAGUCUUGUACAAUAUCCUGCUGACAGAUGAAUCCGAAUAUGGUCCCAUCAUAGACCAUGUCAAAAGGAUGUUGGCUUGCUACAUCAUGGAGGUUGCCCUAAUGGAUCAGGAGGUCGCCACAGUUUUUAAGAAGAAACCGAAAGUCGCACCUGUGGGAUCGGCCAGUGAUCUAAAUCAAAUGCAAAUGGGUAAGAUUGAUCCGAGGCGAAACUCAGUGAUGUUCACUAGAGCCGAAGGACAGAAAUGUCUCUUCGCUUUAGCUGACAAACAUCUUUACACCACAGCUUGCUUGGAGCACGUCUUAUCAAUUAUCAAGCGGUGUAAAGAGAAUUCGGCUGAUGACAUCAAGUACUUCAAUGAUAUGAUCAAUUGGUACAUCCGGUUUAGACAGACCAUCCUCUCCAUAACCAAGUGUCUGUUUAGCACCGUGAAGAAGAAGGUACCAGCUUCAGCUGCCGGCCCAAGUAAGAAGUGAAGGUCUCGCUCCAAAUUGACGCAAAGGGGGAGAUUGUUGGGCUGAAGAUUGUUUUGUUGUUGCGUCUUUUGGGCUCGUUAGUUUAGCCAUGUAUACUCCGGUUUGGGCCUGUCCAACCGAGAGCCUUUUAUGUAUUGUAUAUAAGUUAAUGCUUGCAUGCAUACUAGGUUAAGAUUGCAGAGAUAAUCGACAAAGCGAUUCAUCCAGAGUACAAGAUUUUUCUUCAAUCGUUCUUGUAAUCUUCUAAUCCUCUACAGUUGAUGUUCUUAAUCGAGCUCUUCUGAGGAUUUUGUUUAAUCAUUCGACACGUUUGAUUCAAGCUUUCUUGUUCUUAUUAUUGCGUUUUUACUGUUUUAUAUUCAUAUACUUGUUCAAGAUCUAAUCGAUCUUCAUAGAUUAAAAGUUAUUUUUAUCCCUUCAAUUGGUAUCAGAGCAGGAGGCUAUGUAAUCGAUACACAUCUGUUCUGUGAAAAAGAUUUCCAUUAGGGUUUUCCGCAAUCAUCGUUAUUUAUUGAGCCGUCAUCUUAAUUGACGUAUCUUAAUAUUUAUUGUUUUGCCCUAAUCUGCUUUAUUACAAGUCUGAUCUUUGAACAGGUUUUUACGAUCACAAUGGACGCGACGCAAUCAAACCCUAUUAAUAUUUCCAACAGCAUCGGUUCGACGACAAAGAUUCCAAUCUUAUACACCCAUGACUAUGAAGUAUGGGCGCAUCAUUUUGAAGAUUACGUGAUUGGAUCGGAGGACAAUGGUUAUCUCAUAUGGGAAGCCAUCAUCAAUGGACCGUUUUCUCAUUCUGCAACAUCCAGAAUCAUCAAGACACAAAAAGAGUACAACGAUCUGCUUAAGGACGUGAAGGAUAUUGCACAAGACGAGAAAGACAAAUUCCAGUGUAAUAUUAAGGCGUUAAGGUUGAUCAGAUUCGCCCUUCAGUCAGACACAUUCAGACUGGUCAACUCAUGUACUACGGCGAAGGAAGUAUGGGAUAGACUUCGCGAACUGUAUUCCACAGACGAAGAUCUUGAACAUUCUAUCCAAACCUUGCUUCUAUCUGAGUUUGGAGAAUUCAGGCAAGGGGCCGAAGAAACGGUGACCCAGACGUUUGAUCGCUUCAAUCAUCUUCUCAGCAAGAUGAUCAAACACGACAUUGAAAGGNAAGGUCCUAAUCUUGUUCAUAGGAGUGCACAAAAGUGGUUUUUGAUCCACAAAUGGAAGAUAUGGUUAGGAUUGAAUUCAGCGAAUUCUUUGAGUUAUUUGAAGAAGAACAUGUACAUAGGGAAGAGGGACACUACAAGGCUGUUUGGAAUGAAUGCAAAACAUGUGGUUGCUGCUCCUAUGUUAAUAUGGAAAAAAUUCUUUUAUCUUUUCAAGUUCAAGAACACUGAUCGCAGGAUGAUCCUUUUAUGCAACACCCUAUCUAAUGAAGGUACUUUUUUCCAUGAUUUGCACUUUUCACUAGUGUUAAAAUAUAAAAUUGGAGGUUUCAAGCAUGGCUCGUGUCCCGGGUCAAAAGAGGAGCUCGUAUCAGCUAACCAUCUAAAAAUAAGUACACAUGGGUGGAAUUCAAAACCCACGGCCAUGUGGUGCAUCAAUCAAGAUCAAUGCUGGAAAAGGACUGUUAUUACAAACUUGUGAAUGGGUAUGUAGAGGGACAAGAAGAUAUUUUGGUUCGUUUCUAUGAUGGUUUGUUCAAAAUAGUGCAAGUAUUGAUUCAUACUUCUAUGGAUCAAAAAGAGAGUGAGAUUGAUGACAUAAGAGCUGCUAAGCCAAAGAAAAAGGUUAGUUUGAAAAAAGAAGAGUUGAGUGAUGAUACUUUCAAUAUGGCUAAAACUGAUAUUAAGAAGGGUAAUGUCAUCUUGAGAUAUCCUUCGUUUGAAAGAAGUUACCAACUUGGAGUAAAGAAAAGGUCACAUUCUGUAAUAAAUAUUUGUUUUCAAGACCUACUGUCAUGGAAGUUUUAUAUAGGAGAACAACUAAUCUGGUCCUUACUGAAUUGAGGACAAUUCCUUUCGAAGAAGGAGGGAAUGAUCCGUGUUUGGAUAAUGAAGUCCCAAAAGGUUAUGGGUAGCUUAAUAUUAGGCUAGAAAGUUGUUUGGGAUUAAUGGCCUAUGGGGUGUGCAUGGUGACGUAGUUGAUGGAUUAGGGUUUUCUUAAUUAAAUUAAUAAAAGUUUAAUAAAUCCAAAACUUCAUUGAUUGUUUGAUUCAAAGCUUGGGUGGUUAUGGAAGCAUUUGGAAGGGUAUCAUUGAUGGCUCUCUUUAAACUUUGGGAGUUACACUCUUAUCAUUGAUGACUCUCUUUAAACUUUGGGAGUUACACUCUUAUCAUUGAUGACUCUCUUUAAACUUUGGGAGUUACACUCUUAUCAUUGAUGACUCUCUUUAAUCCUUGGAUGUUAAACUCUCUACAUCUUCUCAUAACCAAUUACUAGCAAUAUGAAGACAUGGACGUUUUUUAUUUUUGUCAUUCUUAAGUGUGGUAGACGUCUUUUUUGUGUUAUUUCAAGAGUUUCCUUAAUUUGCAUUGACUACUUUUAAUGAAUAAUUGGUUGGUUGGCUUGUAACCACCAAAUUUGUAAUAAAGGCUUGAUAUAAAGCCAAGUUUAUGGAUGGAAAAAGGUGAUAGACGAAUUUUUAUCAAAGAACCCUUUUGUUCACUUUGAAUGAUUGUCAUAGUUCACAAAUUAUCAUCUUUCGGACGUGAUCCUUGAGUUGAUCGAAUUCAAACUAAUAGGUCUUAGUUUGUCUUCAGAUUUACAAGCUAUAGGUCUAGUUUGUUUAUCAAAUCUAUCCUUUUAUUGUUUUUGUCUCAAACACUAUUCAGUCUCAAUACUAAAUAGCCCAUACACGUAUCAUAAGUGGUAUCAAAGCCCAGUUCCGAUUGGGUGUUGUGGAGAUCUUGUUCAAAAAAAAUCCUUCUAGGUUUGUUUAAUUUUAGUUCCUAUUCAGAAAUUGUUUUCCAAACAUGUUGCAUAAGUUAUAUUAUGAAGAAGAAAUAGAGGAAGAGAAUUUUGAAGAAGAGGAGGAAGAAGAUUCCGGUCCCAUCUACGACACCGAUGGGGAAGGGGAAUUUUGUGAAAGAAUAUAUUUCUUUUUUCCCUUUUGGUUUUGGAAUUUUGUUGCAAGGUUUUGUUACUAAUCACCCUAAUCAUCAGUCGUGACAUGCUUCUGAUUUUGAUUCCAUAUAAAACAUGAAGUGCAGCAUCAAAAUUACCUCUCUGGUACUCAAGUCUACCCAACAAAGCUCUGCCUUCCUUCAGUUUCAUGUAAAAUGGUAGGGGUUCUUUACGGGUGGUGAAUCGGACCGAUUGACUACAAAAUGGGGACAUUUCCACGAUGGUCUUCUUAAGUUUAUGUCCACAUAGUUGUCAUAAUCAAAACACUACAAAGAGUAAAUAUGGUAACUUGCAAAUUCUCGUCUGUGCAAAAAGACAUAAAUGCCCUUCUCAUAUUGUGUAACAAAUGCAAUAUUGACACUCACCUGAUGAUGUUUACACAAUUGUCCUUUGACAGGUGUCUUGAGACAUUUGAAGCUGUAUAAAAAUAAGAAGUUGGAUUUAGAGACAUAUUAAUUAGUUAAGAUAAAUUAAGUGCUAUUUGUAUUAAAAAUAAACUAGAACCAUAUGGGGCAAUUUAGUGAUGUUGUAGAAGUCCCUUCAGGUAAUUCAUUAUCUAGAUCAGGAGCAGCAGCAACUCGUGGCACAUAGUUGGGAAGGAUGGAAGAGAUUGGAUUUGAAAUCAUACUCAUGAAGGCAACAAUUAUAAUACAUUUCCCUAACAAAGAUUUAUAAUAUUUUUUUAUUUAAGAUGGAGGAUUCAAGUAUAUAAAUUAUAUGUAUAUUAAAAAAGCGUUAAAAGUAUAAAUAUACCAUUGAACUGGCCCACCACUUGAAGAAGAUUGGUUCCCAAUUUGAGCAUAUGUGUCACAAGUGUUGGAUUCGGUGGCCCUAGAUCCUAAUGAGGUCAUGAAUUUAGUAUUUUUAAUGGUAUUAUUUAGAAGUUGACUUUAUUGACUAUUAAAUGAAAACAUGGAUUUAGUAUUUGAUGGUAUUUUUAGCUAACUUUGGUUGACUUUUAAGAUACAUGAAAUGGUAGGGAAACACGAGAAAUAGGAUCAUGUAACACCAUUUACAAAAGCAAAUUGGCUCAAAUGGUUAAUAAUACAAACCUUAAAAACACAAGUCCUCCCAUUCACUACUUUUCCAUUCAACAAAAAGCUAAAAGCCCAUAGUAGUCUCCGUUAUGUUCUUGAUCCUUAAUUCAACAUGUGCUGAUUCAGGGGUUGGUUGCAACCUUUAAAUCAAGAUUUACAAAUUAAAAUUAUAAUCUCAACAACAUAUUACAUAUUAUAUAUUACUAAUUAUUGCUUAGUCGUACCAUAGGGUGUGAAGGCAAGUAAGGUGCCAAGUGUUUCUUCACACCAAUGGGGCCCAUUCCGGGCCUACCACCACCAUGUGGAAUGCAAAAUGUAUUGUGAAGGUUUAGAUGACAAACAUCAGCACCAUUCCACCCUGGACUUGUUAAGCACCAUUCCACCCUAGACUUGUUAAACCAACCUGUAAAAAAUCAAAACCAAAGAUAUUUUUUUUAUAUAUUUUCAUUUGUUUGUAUGAUGUUUUAAUUAAAUUAAAACGUCACAAGAAGUGUAAUUUUUAUGUACCUGUGCAUUCAUGUUAGCUCCAUCCAUGUAAACUUGACCUCCAUUGUCAAGAAUAAUCUUGCAAAUCUCAUCAAUACCCUCCUCAUAAACUCCGUGAGUAGAAGGAUAGGAAACCUAAAAAACAGAGAAUUUACUUUAGUUAUUAAUCUUUUUCUUUUUAUUAUCUAUUUUUAUGUUUUGAUAAAAAAAAAAUUGGUUACCAUAAGAGCAUAUACAUACUCCUUGUUUGCCUCAGCAUCCUUGCGUAUCUCUUCAAUAUUGAUAUUACCUUUGGAGUCAGUUCCCACAGUAAUAAUUUUCAUUCCACACAUAGCAACACUUGCAGGAUUUGUUCCACGUGUAGACACAUGGAUGAUACACACAUUACGAUGAUGAUUUCCUGUCGCCUAUAGUUGACAAAGUCAAUGACUUUGACUUUAUAUAUAUAUAUAUAUAUAUAUAUGUAUAUAUAUAUGUGUGUGUGUGUGUGUGUGUGUGUGAUUAAACUAAAACCAAUAUAAAAAGGGUAUAAUAAUUUAGCAAUUUAGCAUACCAUAUGAUAAGCUCGGACAUUCCAACAUACUCUCCAGCAGCUCCAACAUUUGGUUGCAAAGAGAAGGAGACGAAUCCGGUUAAGGUACACAACAUGUCACCCAAAUUCUUGAACAUUUCCUGCAAGAUAUUUUAUGUUGCUCUCAAGUUAAAAAAAAUAUGUCAAUAGAAAUAUAAUUUGGAAUUUUAAGUCAAAAUUACCUGAUACCCCUGUGCCUGUUGGGUAGGAGCAAAAGGAUGCAAAUCUGCAAAGACUAGCCAUGUCUCAAGCAUCAUCUCUGUAGUUGCAUUAAGCUUCAUGGUACAAGAUCCCAGAGGAAUCAUAUUGUGGCAUAAUGACAGAUCAUUUGACUACAACUUACUAAUGUAUCUUAGUAGCUCAUGCUCCGUAUGAUAACUAAAAUAAAAUUAUUAAUAAAAAAGUUGACUUUAAAUUAUGUAAUCUAAGUUUUGAAAAAGAUCCAUACGUGUUGAAAAUCAAAUGAGUCAAAUAUGGAGUUUCCCAGACAAAUCUGGAAGGGAUAUUAUCCUCAACCUCUGGUGCAAGUGACAUGGCACUGAAUGCCACCUAGAAUAAAGAAUCAAGAAUCAAGAAUCAAGUUUCUUGAUUUAUAUAAAGGUUCGUUAAAUCAAAAGAAAGGGCAAACUCACGGGUUUUCCCAAGGCGAAAACUUUGAACAAAUUAUCAACAUCUUCAAUCAUUGUUGUCUCAUCAAAAGAGAUAGUGAUCUGAGAGAAGCAGUAGCAUAUUUGACAAUAAGUUUAAGAGCACACAGAUAGACCUGUGGUGUCAAUCUGCAACAAAAAAUUUUCUGGUUUCAAAUCUCCAUGAAUCAUUCGAUGCUUAUAACAUCCUAGCCAUAUUUAAAAUCCUAAAAAAAAUCAAAACAUGAAAUUUCCAACAAAUAUUUAUACUUACAUCUAAUGAAUUCAACUUAGGAUUAAGAAAAUACCUUCAGAGAACCUCUAUAACACAUGAAUGUUGAAGAGGACGAUGAUUUUUUUCAGUAAUGUGGCUUUCAUCUUUGAUUCUUUCUGUAGGAAAGAAAGUUUCACAAAUAUUUUAUAUAUUAAACAUAAUCAGAUGAUGUGUGACUAAUAAUUACCUUGUAGCAGGUUCGUCUAGCAUCAGAGAGGACGUCCGUAUGGGUUUUCUCUGGCUAUUUUGAUGUAACCAUAUGAUUAGUGGGACCAUCAUUUGUAAUAAUUGGUGGUUGCUAGGAGCAAGUGAAAAGGAAUACGCAAGUUACUUGAUUAAAUAGAAAAGGAUAAUAUGAGACUGGGGUGAUCAAAUUCCGGCAACAAAGCCGAUUCCGAUCCCGAUUGACGGUGAUGCCUCCUUGAAAGACCGAUCGUUGUUGAGAUAGAGAAAAAAGCAGAAAAGCGGUGUGUAUUUGCAGGCCCAUAGUGGAUUAGAAAAUUAACUAAAUAUGAUUGUGGAUGGAAAAAGAGAAAAGGUGUUCUUCUAGAAAUUGAUGGAAGAAGUGGUGCAUGAAAAUGGUGGAUAGCAAACCCUAAAAUUCAACGAGAUUUGUGAAUGCCCAAAGCUUCAUCAUAAACAGGAGGAUCAUGAUUAGUGAAAUCAAUCCAUUGAGGAGCGUUAAUGUCUUCACCUUUUCGAACACAGCUACAUGCAUUGAUGGAUUAGAGAUAGAAAGGGAAAAAGAAGAAGAAAAUGACUUCAUGUUGAUAUGUUGAUAUACGCUCUUCGCUGCUAACUAUGUGGGGAGGAAAACCUAGUAAGGAAUGAGACGCAAGAACGACGUUACAAUGCGAUGAGUAUGCGUAUUUUAGUGUAAGAUGAUGUCAGCAAAACGAUCCUAAGGUGGAGAGCUAAGGAGUAAAAUGGAAUCAAGGGCCCUUGUUUCUUCAAUUUAGAAUUUAAGGUUCUCUUUUAAUAAUAUUUAGAGAUAGGUAUAGUUUAUGGUUCAUUAGACUACAAUUACACUACAAAAAGGGGUUCAGUUACACUAUUGAAAAGUUUUUUCAUUCACUCUACACGUAAACUCGUUAACAUAAAUUAUGAGACACUACUUCAUUGUACUCUUAAAGUACGGGCUAAAAUUCAUGUAAGUUAUAACUAGAGUCUCUUGUAGGGAGAGCGUGAUAGUUGUAUAUAGAUCUAUAUUGGGAUUGACAACCCACACCCAAGCUGCUUGCAACAGCUCGGCCAGCAGGUCAGUGGUGACAAAUGUGAUAACAUUCCGAUGCCUGAAGAACGUCGCAGCGGGUCUACUAUGUCAUAGUAUGGUUAUAACGACUCACAUAGGAAGAUGACGACACAUAUAGUUUACGGGACUUCUUAUUUCAAGAAGGGUUUUAUUCAUUAAAAAAUUUCAUAUACUAUCAUAAGUAUGAAAAAUACUUGUACAUUUUAGUCUUUCGCUCUUAAGACUACAAAACAUUUUAUAAGGAAAAUAUUGGAUUUUUCUUGUACAAACACUACAUUUACAAAUAACAGAUUUGAACUCUUCAUACAACAGCUUAUGAACUUACCAACUUAAUUGUUGACACUCUUUCAAAAAUUACUUGUAUUCUUAGGUAAUCAAUAAAAACAGGUGACUACCAGCUUUUGAGGAUGGAACACUUCAACAUUUAUCAAAACAUUUUGUCAUUAUAUUGUAAUCAAUUUUGAAACAUGUAACUUGUGAAAUCAUGUAACUUUCUCGAUUAUUUUUAUAAUGGUUGUAUUUACUUUGAGCACUAUUAUACUCGUUGUUGUGAUAAUAUACAUGAAGUCCUCCACCCCCGGACAUUUCCGCAAUCCUUAGUUUGGGGGUGUGACAAAUGGGAAUAAAGGAAGGGGCUUGUUUGGCUAGGGUGUUUUGAAACGAUUGUGCGUAGUAGUGGUAUAUGUAUGUACACGGAUCGACAUGUGAGUAAUGGAGUAGUAGUGUUGGCCAUCCUCUUCACUGUUAAUCGCAAAGAUAGUAAGGGAGGGGAUAACGAACCCUAGAAGGCCAUUACAUUGAGUAGUCGCAAACAUUUAGAGAGUGAAAGGUAGUGAAGUGGUGCAUUGGUGGCUACUGUUUUAGCGAUCCGAUAGGCGGGGNUACUAAACUUGAAUUUCGAAGAGAGACCCUUGCGAUUGCAAAAGGAUAAGAGUGCAAAUGACCAUACUAGCCCAAACCAGAAAAAAUCAAGAAAAUGAAAAGGAGAAAAAGAAUAAAAACACAUAAGGCAUUUCGGUCAAUUCACCAUCAUGUCAGAAUAAAAUUUAAUAUAAUCCCCAGCAAAUGAGGUCGAAUUUCUUUUCUCCAUUGGGGAGAUUAAGAACAAGAAGAAAUUAUAGAGAGAGAGAGGAGAGAGAGAGAGAGAGAGAGAGAGAAACAAAAGCGUUGUAAGAAAUAAUGAUUUUGGAGUAGGAUUUUUAGUUUUCUUCCGAUUCAAAGUUUGAACUAAUCUGGAUUUUUAUUUUUGAGACAAGAAUGUCGCCCAAACUUCUUUUGAAUGAACGAAGCUUUAACGAGUAGUAUCUAAUGUCUAAUUACUUGUAUAUGGGUACACUUUAUUGUGAUUGGAUAUGAGCAUUUCACACAUCACAAACAGAAUAAUCCUCACCAUCUAAUGCAGAUUCGACGAUCCGGAUCAUGUUUCUUUUUUUUUUAUUAUUAUUUAAGAUAAUAGGCUUUAUUUGUUGCACCUUUGGCUUUACAAUUUUUAAUUAAGACAUUGAUUAUGAAUGGUUUAUAAUAUGGUAUAUAUGUGUGUGUCUCUCUCUCUCUCUCUCUCUCUCUCUAUAUAUAUAUNUAUAUAUAUAUAUAUAUAUAUAUAUAUAUAUAUAUAUAUAUAUAUAUAUAUAUAUAUAUAUUUGUAGUGUAUUUGAAACAUAAAAACUAAAAAGAUAAAAUAUUGUUGUUCUUACAAUCAUCAAAUCUCAAUCAAGAAUCUGAGAAUGGACCGGGAAAGAAGAAUAGAGAAGGUUGUUGGCUGCAUUUUAGACUUUAACUCUUUUAAUUUUCAUGAAUCGAGAUUGGAGGGACAGGAGGACAUAAGGUAAGGUCGGCCCUGUGUACUUAUUUAGGCCGAAGCUCGAUACCCUCCACGAUAAGACCCUUCUUCCAGUGUCCCAACUUGAUCUCCUCAUACGCCAUCUCAACCUUCCCGUUAUCUCCUUCAUUGUAAUCAAAUUCUCCCAGUUUGAUCUCCAUCCACCCAUCCUUCCUCUUAUGAGGAAACACAUAGUUUUCUUGCACACGAUGUGGCCUUUGAAGAUAAACAUUUUCGGUUUCCAUUUCUGACCCACCAAAACUUAACCUUGUUUUUGCUGGCACGGAAACUCCUCUGGAAUCCUUAGUAGUUCCAAAGACAAGAUACGCAUCAUAUGUAUUGUUUUGGGACAACAUCCCUGCUACUAUUCUUCCGUGGAUUGAAAGCCAAUAAACUUGUUUAAGUAUGCACACCUCCGGGAACCUGCACAAUUAAAUGUCAUUGAAUAUAUAUGAUUCCCAAAUUAAGGUACUAUUACAUGUUAUGUUAUGUCAGAGUGACUUUGUCACCAUAAAGAGAGAAAUAGAGACCUUGAUUCUGGUAUAUGUGUCCAUUCCCAGUAUUGAGUGUCAUGUUGCCAUGUAAUUGAUAGCUCCUUUGCUCCUAACAUAUAACACUUCUUCCCACUCUCCUUAUCUAGCUGGAAGCUCUAUUUUUUGAAUUAUGAGUCCAAAUAUUAGUAGAAGUUGUUUAAUAAAAAAUUUAUAUCGUAAAACUCUACUUUCUCAGGUAGCAAGGUAUGAUUGAAGUUGAACAAAACAUUGUCUAAUUUGUAUGACUACCCUUCAUAUACUUGACCCAACUCCAAUAACAUUAUCUAGAGUUCAUGAGUUAACUUUGUGGAAUAUUUUAUACAAUUGGUGUUGGAUUAAUCGGUUGAUCUAAAUAAGGAAAUUUAGUUGUAGGGGUAUUUUAGGAAACAUUUUUUUUAGGUGUUUUAUUUGUGUUUAAGGACUAUUUUAGAUUUUAUAUAAACUGGUUAUUAACCUUUCUUUGUACUUAAUUUAGAAUCAGGUUUCCAGUAAUAAAGUAUCGUUUACCAAGUAAUCUCAAUCUCAAAGUUUCUCUGGGUUUUAUCCCACUGUAUCUUUUUCUUCCUGUUUCCAUUUUAUUCUUGGACACCAAGGUAACAUUAGUUUGAUAUUCAACAACUGGCACACAGAUCGAAGAGGAUAUGUAGACGUAAUUAGCAAUUAACGAUGAUAAAGCAAAUAGUGUAUCAUAAGGAUGAGCGAUUUACCAAAUUGCCAGGGUGGAGGAGGAUAUGUGACCAUUGCUAACCCACCAAAACUGACCGUUGUUUUAGCUGUCACAGAAAGUCCCUUGGAAUUGGUACUAGUUCGAAAGACAAGAUACGCUUUAUAUGUACUAUUUGGUGACAGCAUUACAGAUGCUAUUUUGCCAUGGAUGGAAAGCCAGUGUAACCUUUUAAGUAUACAGACCUCUGGAAACCUACACAAAUGGAAACGUAAUAUGUGUUCAGUUACAUUAUACUCCAAUAUAUAUAGAGGAGAUGGGACCAAAGAUACCUUGAUUCAGGUGCGUGUUCCCAUUCCCAGCUCCUUUGCACCCAACAUAUAGCACUUUUUACCACUCUCCAUAUCUAGCUGGAAGCUCUGUUAAUGGGAUUAUGUGAGACCAAAUCUUAGUUAACAGAAGCAUCGUUUAACAAUUAUAGCGGAGAAAAAAAUCAUUCUCCUCAUGUUGCAAGGCAUCAUUGGAUUCAAAGUUUUUGUCAAUGAGUUGACUUUAGUAAAAUCUUCACUUGUAGAAGCGUUGUUAAUUUAACAAUCAGGCAAACAGAUCAAAGAGGUUAUAUAGAAAGCUUUAACAAGUAUAAAGGAAAUAGUGUAUGGCAAGGAUGAUCGAUUUACCAGAUAGCCACGAUCGAGGAGGAUAUGUGUGUACGAUAAGGAAAAGUACAGUUUGUUUUUAGAGCCAAAAUCCAGCGGAGAAACUGCCCUGGCAAUUAGUUCACGGUAAUCCGAUCGCAGAAGCCGCUCCCAAAAGGCAUCAGAAUAUGCAGCUGAGUCGAAUCCUUUUGGCAUGCCACAUGUCUGCAUGCAUAUGUUCGUGAAGUUAGUGAUAUUAUCUCGAGAUAAAUAUUUCUUCGUUCAUCGUGUGUGUAUGUGUGUUUCACAACAAAAAAAAUCCCUCCGUUAAUAAUAUGUGUGGCCUGUAAUGUAAUCUGCUUUAUAUAUAUAUAUAUAUAUAUAUAUAUAUANNNNNNNNNNNNNNNNNNNNNNNNNNNNNNNNNNNNNNNNNNNNNNNNNNNNNNNNNNNNNNNNNNNNNNNNNNNNNNNNNNNNNNNNNNNNNNNNNNNNNNNNNNNNNNNNNNNNNNNNNNNNNNNNNNNNNNNNNNNNNNNNNNNNNNNNNNNNNNNNNNNNNNNNNNNNNNNNNNNNNNNNNNNNNNNNNNNNNNNNNNNNNNNNNNNNNNNNNNNNNNNNNNNNNNNNNNNNNNNNNNNNNNNNNNNNNNNNNNNNNNNNNNNNNNNNNNNNNNNNNNNNNNNNNNNNNNNNNNNNNNNNNNNNNNNNNNNNNNNNNNNNNNNNNNNNUAUAUAUGAAAAAGUUCAAUAGAGAAUAUAUUCUUAUAAAAAGAAUAAUAAUAAUAAAUAAUACUAGAAGAAAAAAUAAUAAAAAAAAUAUGGAAUAAUUUAUCAUAUGCAUUAUAGUUUUCAUUCUUGCUAUCAAAAUAUGUUUGCUUCAAAAUAAGUAUAACAAAAGACUUACUUGAAUAUUUAAUGCAUCCGCAAUUGUAUUGAUGAUCCUAUCCACCGUAGAGCGUUUCCUUACGUCCACGUUAAUGCACUCAUGUGCAAUUUAAUUAAAUUUUUCAAAGGAACUCAUAUCAAUUUGAGCUCUGAUAGUGGGAUCUAUUAACUUUUCAUGUCCGUCAACAAGUCCAUGAUCAUCAUAGUAGCUUCGGACUCAGGGGCGGAUGUAGCAUAUUGGAAGGGUAUGCAAAUGCAUACCUUUAAAUAAUUACUAGGAUUACUUUUUUUUCAUUAAAAAAAUAUAUAUAUAUUUAUAUAUUUAUUAUAAAUGCAUACCCUUGUCAAAUUAAAUGCAUGCCCAAACUAUAAUUUCAACCUAAGAUUCUCUUUUCUUAUAUUUGACCGAUUUUUUUUUUAUUUAGUAAAUACAUGUCAUUAUUAAAAACAAAUCCAAAUGAAAAAAAUAAAAUAAAAUUGUUAGAAAUCCUAAUCAAGUUGGGUUUAUCAACAAUAUAUAAAAGCUACAAAAUAUUUGAACCAAGAAAAAUACAAACUCUAUAUCUAUCACAAAUCAUAAUUUUUAUAAAACCAACUAAAAGGUAAGAAAAUAAAUCUGAAAAAUCAAACCCAAAGAAACCCUAACCGUUGGACACGUUUUCGCCUCUCUUGUUACCAUAGAGUUCGACAGAAGAAAAAGAAAGUGAGAAACUUCGAAUUUGUUCGUCUUGAUAUCUUGCUAACAUCGUCUCUGGUUCUUGGCCUCUUGUUCUUCAGGUUAGUUUUUGUUUUACUCUCGCAAUCGCCUUCAGUGGUUCAUAGUUUCAUGUUGGAUUUUGUGAGCUUUAAAUCAAUUUCUCUCGUUCACUUUUGUGUUUAUGAAUAUGUGCUAACUGCUAAAGAUAUAGUGAAUUUACUUUCUUGUCUUCUUGAUAAUUGUAUCAUAUAGUUGUCAAUAUUGUUAUAUUGAUAAAUAGAGACUAAAAAGUACAUGUGUAUUCGUAAUUGUUAGUGGAGUCAAUGGCAAUUUAUAUUUUCUAUGUUAAAAGGCAUGUGGCAUGUCACUAGGUAAUUAUGUCAAACCAAUUUCCAUCUAGGCAUGCACAAGAAACACUAUACAUAUAUUUAACAAUGCUAUAUAGAAUUAAAUUAAAAUGAUAAAGUAAACUAUGGUUUAUCAGUUUAGAUGUUUAGCUUUUUUAUUUAUAGUUUUAUUUUAUCUUUUAAUUAGGUUUAAUUACUACUAAGAAAUGUGUAUGUAAAUCCUACUAAUUAAUUCCUUUGCUGUUUCACUUUUAGAUAAUUAAUUUUGUUAACCUUUUAGGUUAAAUAUAUUCUUACGAUAACAAUGAAUGAUGAUGAAAACGAGUCAUCAAAACGCAAGAAGAAACAUGGGACGUUAGAUUGGUUUGUUAAUGCUCAAAAGAAAACAAAGACUCAAGAUGAUUCUUCGUCGACGCCCGAUAAUAUCACACAUGGUAGCACCAAAUUUCCAUCUAGGGAAAGAGAAAGUCAAUUUGAUGUAAAUACACUUCCACAUGAUCCAGGCUUGAGGAAGAAUAUCAUUGAUUAUCAUCCCAACGACCAAGAUGCAGUGAGGAAAGAACAUAUACAAAGAGGUCCUUGCCAACCACGUGGUCAUCAAUUUCUUCAAACAUAUUUUGGAGGCUAUAUGUGUCGCUUUAUUCCUACUUGGUUUGAUAAACAUCAAUGGCUUGAAUGUAGUAUUGAAAAAGAGGCGGCUUUUUGUUUUCUAUGCUACUUAUUUAGGGACAAGGAUGAAUUUAAUGGAAAAGGUGGAGAUGCUUUUGUUACGGAUGGCUUUAAAAGUUGGAAUAUGCCAAAUAGGUUCGAUAGACAUGUGGGAGCUGUUAAUAGUAUCCAUAAGCGAGAUAGAGAAAAAUUUGAGAUGCUUACCAAACCCAAAAAGUCGAUACAAAGUGCUUUUGAGCAACAAUCUACAAAAGCCCAAAAAGAAUAUCACACUCGUUUACUUGCUUCGUUACACUGUAUAAGGUAUCUUUUACAUUAAGGAUUGCCAACCCGGGGUCAUGCUAAAAGUCAAGAAUCAAGUAAUAAAGAAAACUUUCUCGAACUUCUUGAAUGGUUAGCAAAACAUAAUGAGGAAGUUGAUAAAGUUGUAUUGAAAAAUGCUCCAAAGAACUUACAAGUAACCUCCCCUUCCAUUCAAAAAGAUAUCAUACAUGCUUGUGCAAAAGAAACAACUAAACACAUUAUUAGAGAACUUGGUGAAGAUUACUUUGCAAUAUUGGUGGAUGAAUCGGCUGAUGUAACUCAUAAUGAGCAAAUGUCUUUGUGCUUGCGGUAUGUAGAUAAGAAAUGAGACAUAGUUUAAAGUUUUCUCGGUGUUGUACAUGUCGUUGAUACCACAACUUUAUCUCUUAAAAAGGCAAUUUAUUCUUUGCUUGCGGAGUAUUCAUUAAGUCCAUCUAAAAUUCGAGGCCAAGGAUAUGACGAAGCUAGCAAUAUGAAGGGUGAAAGUAAUUGCCUUAAAACCCUAAUCUUAAAAGAAACCACAUCCGCAUACUAUGUCCAUUGUUUUGCUCAUCAACUUCAACUAACAUUAGUUGCAGUUUCAAAAAAGAGCAUAGAUUGUGGUUGGCUCUUUGAGAUACUUACAAACUUACUGAAUGUCAUUGGAGUUUCUUGUAAGAGAAAAGAAAUGUUGCGAGAAGCUCAAGCUCAAAAGGUUGCACAAGCAUUUGAUGAUGGUAAACUUGAAAGUGGCAAAGGAUUGAAUCAAGAGAUAAGUUUGGGAAGGCCGGGUGAUACUCGUUGGGGAUCCCACUAUAAACUGAUUGUGAAUGUUAUUUCCCUAUAUCCUGUGAUAUGCAAGGUUCUUGAUAAGAUUGGAGAUGUAUCUUCAAGUUCAGAUGACCGGCUAAAAGCGGAUGUUGAUGGUUAUUCACUUGAGUCUUUUGAUUUUAUAUUCAUGAUACAUUUGAUGAAGAUUAUUUUUGGUGUGGCAAAUGAUUUGAACAAAGCUUUACAAAGAAAAGAUCAAGACAUAGUUAAUGUUAUGGCGUUGGUGACGUUGACCAAACAACGAAUACAACAAGUAAGAGAUAAUGGGUGGGAACCUCUCUUAAGUUCAGUCGUAUCCUUUUGUGAAAAAAAUUGCAUCGAAGCUCCUAAUAUGGAAGAUGUAUAUGUCCCGAAUGGUAGAAAAAACGUGGCAAAUUACACACCACGAAUCUUCAUCAUUUUCGAGUUGAAGUCUUUGUUGCGAUCAUUGAUUUGCAACUUCAAGAGUUGAAGAACCGAUUGAUGGGUUUUGGUCAUAAGACAUCCUAUGUGCUCAUACAAACCCUAAAGCUUGGAUCUAGGUUUCUCUAUUGUACAUACUUUGAAUCCAAGACUUUGAACCCUAAUUCUAGCAUAUGGAAAUCAAAAUUCACAGGUAAUUAGGUUUAAGAACAUACCUUGAUUGUUAUAUAGCAAUAACAAUCCAAUUCCUCCUUGAAUUGACCUUGGAAAGCUGAUAGUCACAAGUGUCACUCCUCUAAUGGCUUACAAACACCAUAAGCAAGUGGAGAAGGUAUAUAGAGAGAGGAGGGAGGUAGGAAUUCGUCCUUAGGACCUCUUGGGAAGGGUUAGACGGAUUCCUAAGCCCUAGAGGGCCCUAGAGGGUUUAUAUAGGUGUAAAGAUUAAGGUUUUAGUCCUUAUCCUUAUCUAGUUGCUUGUCCACCAAGCAACCAUAAGAUAAGUCCUAGAAACCCUUAUCCUAGUCGAAUUCUAAGGGAUUUACACCUCAAAUUCGUUCACCAUAUAUAUAAGAUAAUCCUUACCUGAUUUUGUAACUAUCACAUAAUUACAAUUCAGCCCCUCUAGUUUAAUUAAUUACACUUGAUCACAAAAUUAAUUCUUAAUUAAUUAUUGACCAAUAUUAAUUAAACAAAUAUGAUUUCUCCUUUAAUAUAUUAUUCUUAUAACAUAUUAAUAAAUCAUAAUAACCUCUCUCUCUUUAUUUAUUUCUCCAAUCAAGUUGCUUUGGUGAAGGCAACCCAAAAGGACCAUGCACCAUCGGGUCAAGUACAUACCAAAAUAGUUAUGGACUUAGACACUAAUCCAACAGUCUCCCACUUGGAUAAGUCUAAUAACUAUUCUGCGUAUGACUUCAGAUCCUGAUCUGCAAUCGUAGCUUUCCAAAGCCGCUGUCAACUCUGAUCAUAUCAGAUACGCGUGUCCUUAGAUAAGGGAUCAUAUAUUCCUCCAUUCUAGAUAUCAUAUGAGAUAUGAUUUCAAAUCAUUCUCUUUGUACUAUAUCUCGAUUUCCGAUUUAUGACGACUGACUAAUUGAACAAAUCAAAUUAGCCCUAGCCCGGCCGAGCAUUUACGUUUGUCAUCACUAAAUCAUCGAGGGGCCCAAAGAUAUCGCUUUUAUCCUACUUUGGAUAAAAGGAACGGAUAAACUUUGAUACAAUGCUUGCUUGCACUCACUCACCGAAUCACACACAACAAUAUGUUUUAUAACACCAAGUUACUAGUGCGUUUACAUAUUAUCAAUGUGCAACCGAUUUGCAAGAUACAACUCACACAUCUCGGUUUCAAGAAUAUAAGAUGUUAUCGUCUCACCAAUCACUCGUGAUACAAUUCAUGGAGUGAUCCAAGUGAGCGUGGGUUUAAUCCAAUGCUCAAAUCAUAUUCAUAAGCACUCAUGAACGUUGCAGCAAACAUUUGCUUAUGUCUAAUACUCUUUUAGACAAUCCACACACCAAUUCACGACAGUCUUCAUUCAUAUCUACUUCCAACAUAUGAACGACUGUGGCCCGUUUGAAUAAUUCGAUUAUUCUUAAUAAACUCAAUUAUUCUGGAAGUCAAAACAUGCAAAUGUGAAACACAAGAAUAAUACUAAUCCCAUAUGGCCUCAAACCUUUGAGUAUAAAUAAAACACCUUUUAUUUAUCACCAUAUCGAUUACUCAUUAUUUGUCGUUUCGGGUAAUCAACUUCUUACUUGAAUUAUUACACUUGUCCCAUGCUCCUAGCAUGCACACAAUGUUUACCUAUGGUUCUUACUUUGUGAAAUAGAUCAAAUUGAACACAUUUCCAAUCAUUCUCAUUUCACAACUCCAAAUCCCUUUUCCAUAAGUGAAAGAAUAUCAAAUUCUUGCUACUUAUAGAAUAUGCUAGAUUCUAACAUUCUAUGCAAUGAUCCUUUCGUAAUGUCACUGCACCAAAGUCACAAAGACUAUUGCCAAUGAUAUUACAAAGUCCUCUAUCGGAGAUUGUUACAAGACAAUUCCUUAGAUAUGAUGUCUCUCACUCAAAGUACAUUCCUUUGAACAUCCUUUUGCAUAAAAGUUUCUAAUCUAGACAUAGAUUUUCAAUAUUCAAUUCCCAAUAUGGACACGCUUCCAUAUUUUCCAUAUGACAACUCAUUCUUAAUAGAAUCUUAUCUAUUCGUAAUGAUGUCGAUAUGGUCCAUCCAAUAUGGAAACAUUUCCAUAAUUUCCAUAUGACAACUCAUUCUUAAUAGAAUCUUUUCUAUUCAUAAUAAUGUCGAUAUGGUCCAUCCAAUACCAUGCUUCCAACUACUCACAAGCGACCAAUCCUCGUCGAACUUUGGAUUGUCCUUUGAUAGUUGUUUAAUUAUUUUAGUCAAAACCAAUUCUAGUCCCUUUUCCCUCUAAAUGCGCUCGACAUUUGGAAAAUUUUAGAAUGGUCAAACAUUAAAGCAUUUGCAAUCGAUCCUAUACCCGAAGCGUAUGGGACACGACGCAUAAUGUUUUAUUUGCUAUGUUCUCAAAAUUCGAAUUGUGAAGAGGAAUGCCGUAAUCAUAAUCGAAAUUUUAAGAACACACUAUGUACCUUUGACUAAAUUUAUUAACAUUUCUCAACCUAAUCCUUUAGAUUUGAAAUGAAGCAUAAUAUUCUCUCCCUUAAUUAUAGCAAAACAACUUUACAACCCUUACGACUUUGCAAGGUAUAACUCUUGUUUUCUAUAAUUAAUAUUGCCAACUUGCAAUACGUGCCUUAAUAAUCAUACAAUCAUAACAUUUAUGCUCCCACUAUCAUGAUGAUUAUUAUAAAACAUAACACUUAUGCUCCCACUAGCUUCGACAUGUAUUCAUAAACAUCUUAACUUUCAGAAAAACAAUGCUUAUUGAAUUUCUUAAGUUCAUGUUUCUAAUACUUAGUGCUUUGAUAAUCUUUUAUCAAGGCUUCUUGAACUUAUACACCUUUGCCUUCGAUAGUUCAUAUGUGUGUCUAAACAAUUAAGACUAAUUGCCAAACCUCACAAUUCAAAUUAUGGAAAGGGAUACCGUAACCAUAAUCGAAUUCGAGAAUGCAAUUUUACAAUCACUAUCUUCUUAAAAUCUUUCUUAGUGAAAGCAUUUCCUCACAAUCAUUUUCAUGAAGGAGGAAAUCUUAUGACACUUAGAUUUAAACGGUGUAUGUGUUCCUAUCCAUGUGAAUUUGUUAAAACCAAAGUUUACGACAAAUUCAAACUCAUAUGGACCGAACUUUCUUAAUCUUGAUUUCUUGCCUUAUGGUAGCACAGCUGCCCACCAUGUCUUCCAAGUAGUUAAGCAGCUCACCUUUUCUUAUCAAUGUACUUUCCAUUGAUCAAGGUCCUUGCCUUUUAUGCAUUCAAAUGAGAACUCAUAGGACUCACAUGCAUAAUUAACUCGAUUGGAUUGGCACAGAAACAAAAUAAUGUCAACACGAUAGGUUGUAAACCUCAACUCGUGUGCUAGUGAUGAUCGAUAAGGUUUUUUUGAUUUGUUCUUGAAACCUUUCAAGACCAUUAAGACUCCCACUGACUCCUUGACAUAUAAGAUUCUCUUGUCAAUAAACAUUUCUUGACAAACAAAUAUUCAAGAGUUAGUGUAGUUUUUAUCAAAACACUUCAUAAAUUGGUCCUAGUUGGUCUUUGUCUUAUCCAAGACAUCACAACUUUCCACAUUUGAUGAAUGUUAUAAACCUUCUUAAUACUUUUCACUCAAUGUCACAAUCUUAACUCUAAGACUUGUUUUGGAACGAAGUAUGAUUGACUUCUUGAUUUAACCAUUUCUUCAAUUCUUGAUUCCUCUUCUUAGACAUACAAUUGUACUAAGACUCACUUAGAGGAUCAAUUGAGAUAUGGUUCUUAAUCAUUAAGACCUAUCAUAAAGCAUAAAAGGUACUCUCCCUUCUUCUUAGAAUGGAGAAACUUUUAUCUUUCUGCCUACUUGAUUCUUCUUAUUCGUUCUGCUAUUGAUUUAAACUUUUUCAAUCAAUUCAGAAUUACACUUAAUCUUAUAAGUAUAAUCAUAUUUACUAAACCUUUAGUAAAUCAUGACGAAUAUCUUUGUUACUCUUAUGGUGGACUUGAUCAACACGCAACUUUGUGUACUCGAUCUCCUAGUCCUUCACUUGACACUUUGUCAAUGAAUUAGUCUAAUUUCCAAAUAUGAAAUUUCUCAUUCAUCGUGCAACCAAGUUGCAUGAUUCCAAGUUUCUGUCCAAUUGAAACUUGGGCGAUGAGAAACUCUCCCUAUUUGGUAAACUCUCGACUUUCCAUAAAUAACAUAAUAAGAACCAAAUCCAUUAUUGCUAAUAAUAGAAACAUUCAAACAUCAAUUUUUCAUAUACGCCAUUGCAAGGAUAAAUAAAUAAUAUAAAAUCAAAAUUUAUUUUAUUGCGGAAAAAAUUUGUCCUUACAAUGCAAUUCAUUGAAAAACUAUGCUAAUACAUCUUUCUUAGCAAUCUAAUUCUAACUCUAAGUAGUAGCUCAAGAAUCUAAUCUUCGAGAAAUGCGAUCGAAAUCCAUUCCUUCACGGUUAGAUUCUGCUCACUUCUUCCCUUAAGCUUCCUUUCUUUUCUUCGAUCCUACAAAACAUCAAUUGUAAUCUUAUCACAUUAUGUAUUAAGAAUCUAGAAUAGAAGCUUAAAAGAGUUAGUUAAUGGAUUUUACCUAUAUUAGAGCCAUACGUUUCGACUCUCCCAUCUCUUAGAUCUCUUAGGUAAAUGGGGCAGCUUCGUCUCCAAUGCCCUUUCUCUUGGCAAUAAAAGCAAAUUGACUCUUUUGGAACAUGACAUGGAACUACUUCAGACAUUGCCUUUCUCUUAUGAUCAAACUUUUCGAUCAUAGCAUGUCUUUCGUUGCCAUUGUCUAUAUCCAUAGAGGUCUUGAAGGCAGAUUCACCAAUCAACUUUGCUUUUCUAUUGCGCCAAACCAUUGCUGAUUCAGCAGCAAUAAGCAUAUAGGUGAGAUCUAUAAGGGUCACGUCGCGGUUCAUCAUAUAGUACUCUCUUACGAACUCACUAUAUGAGUUAGGAAGUGACUGAAGAACCCAAUCAACAGCCAUUUCCUCACAGACAACGGAUCCCAACAUUCUUAACCUAUCAAUGUGUGACUUCAUCCCUAGGACGUGUGCACACACCGACUUUCCUUCUUUAUGUUUACUUGCCAAAAGGGCUUGAGUGAUCUUGAACUUUUCAAGCCUUUGAACUUGUGGGUUAGGGAGAAUAAUUGGAGGAGGAGGAGGAAGUGAAGCAUGAUUUCUUGUUCCUCGAUCGAAUCGUGGAAUAUCAUCUUCAUGUGGAAUGCUUGUUCCACGGGAUUUGGGAAGACCAUAGUUGUCGAACUUUGACAUCUACAAAACGGGAGAAAACGAAUUCAAGUUAGUUGAUUGAUUGAGUCCUUAGUAAAUCACCCAAAUGAGAUACUAAGGCUAGGACCCAACACAAUAUUCUACAACUCGGGAGAGGGAUGCCGUAACCCUAAUUGCAGAAUAUUUGAAGGUAAGUGAAUGACGAUUCACUAAUUUCCACCAUGAAAAACGAAAAAGAAAUUUAAGUUUUAAAUCUAUGAAAACUCCUAGAUCCUUUGAGAUUCAUUGAACUUUCAAUGGCAUGUUUAAAUCUCGAUAUGCCCCUCUUGUUUGUGACUGGGAUGCCGAGGAUCACAAAGCGGGUGUGAAUAACCAUGCAAACUUACAUGGUGCCCUCACAUGUUACAGUCACCUAUUCGAUGUGCCGGUAAACCACACACGCUCCACCGAACUAUGACAAACAUUGAGUCACCCUUUGCUACCUUUGCUUAGAACCAUUUAGUGUGCCGGUUAACCACACACGCUCCACUAACGUCUUCGCAAGGGCACAAAGUGUAAUUUCAUGGAAUUGCAUCAAUUCACUUUUGCCUAAGUAACUAAGAUUGGGAAUUUUAUGAAAACAUUUAGUUACUUUAAUAAUUCAUUAUACUUAUAAUGGAAGGUUUCGUCCUAUCCUACCCGUUCGGCUAACGACCCUCCACUAGUCAAGAGUGCGGUGGGUAAGAGUGGAUACCCAUUCAAUCGCCAUUUUAUAGGCAAUUUCCUUAAACACCCCUUAUAGACCAGCUUCGUGAAUGAGGCCUACUAACGGUAAGACUGACUUUUACUCAUACAUAUAUAUAAUGUUAGACUUUUAAUGUUAUAUAUAGUAUAGGGUGUAUUUUAUACUUUUAAAAUACUAGGUGGUCUAAUUUAACAAUUAUACUUUUAAUUCAAUUAAAUUGUAAACCUAAACUUUUAUGGAUUUAUUAAACCUCUUUUAAUUAUACACCUUAAUUAAUUAAUAAAACCAUAAGGGUGUGAUUUGAACUUUUUCAAAACUAUACUAGAGUUUUAGAAUUUAACAUUCCUAAUUAAACUUUUAAUCAACUUUUAAAUUCCAAAACUUGAGGGCAAGUUUUGAAACAUUUCAACACAUUAGGGUUUAGAAUUUAAAUAUGCAUCAAAAUUAAACUAUUUAAUCAAAAUUUAAAUUCCAAAACUUGAGGGCAAGUUUUGAAACCUUUUUCAAAACAUUAGGGUUUCAACUAUUUAAAUUUCAAAACAACAAAACUUUUGGGGUUCAAAUUUAAACUAUAAAACCUAAAGGGCCAAAUAUGAAACUUUUCACAACAACAAGGAUCAAAUAACAAAUAAUUCAAAUUAACAUUUAAUCACAUAAUUAUCCAUAUUUGAUGAUUUCUUGCAAAAUAAUUUAUCAAUUUACUUAAAAUAAUUAAUCAAUUAUCUUAUAAGGAAACAAUUAUCUUAUUAAUUGAUAAAUAUCUUCAAUUAGAUUAAAAAUAUAGUCAAAUAUAUCAUAUAAUCGGAUUAAUAUUAAUCUAACAUGAUAAGGUAAUUAUCCCAAUGCAAAAACAGCAAGAAAUCCCGAGAUAAGCACUGUCUGACGCACCGACUCGCCGAGUCACCCUCUGGAACUCGCCGAGUAGGGCUGACUCGCCGAGUCCAAGAGUGACUCGCCGAGUCAGGUCGAACAGUGAGGCCAAAACACGAUUUUCAGUUACAUCAAGCAUCAAUACAAUAGAAACCAAUCAAGGCUCUGAUACCACUGAUGGGUUUUGGUCAUAAGACAUCCUAUGUGCUCAUACAAACCCUAAAGCUUGGAUCUAGGUUUCUCUAUUGUACAUACUUUGAAUCCAAGACUUUGAACCCUAAUUCUAGCAUAUGGAAAUCAGAAUUCACAUGUAAUUAGGUUUAAGAACAUACCUUGAUUGUUAUAUAGCAAUAACAAUCCAAUUCCUCCUUGAAUUGACCUUGGAAAGCUGAGAGUCACAAGUGUCACUCCUCUAAUGGCUUACAAACACCAUAAGCAAGUGGAGAAGGUAUAAAGAGAGAGGAGGGAGGUAAGAAUUCGUCCUUAGGACCUCUUGGGAAGGGUUAGACGAAUUCCUAAGCCCUAGAGGGUUUAUAUAGGUGUAAAGAUUAAGGUUUUAGUCCUUAUCCUUAUCUAGUUGCUUGUCCACCAAGCAACCAUAAGAUAAGUCCUAGAAACCCUUAUCCUAGUCGAAUUCUAAGGGAUUUACACCUCAAAUUCAUUCACCAUAUAUAUAAGAUAAUCCUUACCUUAUUUUGUAACUAUCACAUAAUUACAAUUCAGCCCCUCUAGUUUAAUUAAUUACACUUGAUCACAAAAUUAAUUCUUAAUUAAUUAUUGACCAAUAUUAAUUAAACAAAUAUGAUUUCUCCUUUAAUAUAUUAUUCUUAUAACAUAUUAAUAAAUCAUAAUAACCUCUCUCUCUUUAUUUAUUUCUCCAAUCAAGUUGCUUUGGUGAAGGCAACCCAAAAGGACCAUGCACCAUCGGGUCAAGUACAUACCAAAAUAGUUAUGGACUUAGACACUAAUCCAACACCGAUUUGACGAGGUUAGUAUGGAAUUACUUGUUAAUAUGGCUAGUUUAAGCCCUGUUGAUGAUUUAAAUCUUUUGAGAAAGAAAAAGUUAUUGCACUUGCAAAACUUUAUCCUAGUGAGUUUUCAAGUGUUGAAUUAGUUCGUCUAGGUGAUCAGGUUGAUAACUACAUCUACGAUAUGAAAAAAGACGACAGAUUUCAAGGAUUGAAGGAUCUUAAAGAACUCUCUAAGGUGAUGGUGAGGUCUAAUAAAGAUAAAGUUUUUGAUCAUGUCUAUUUACUUAUUAAGUUGGUGUUGAUCCUCCCGGUGGCGACAGCUAGUGUAGAAAGAACAUUUUCGGCAAUGACUUUUGUGAAGAAUAAGUUACGCAACAGUAUGGGUGAUCAAUUAUUAAAUGAUUGUUUAGUAACUUAUAUAGAGAAAGAUGUGUUUUCAAAAGUUAGUGAUGAAGUUAUUGUUACUCACUACCAAAAUAUAAGCAAUCGACGACAACAUUUGUAAAAUUUUGUUUUGAUAUUAAAUGUUUUUUUUAAUUAUUAAUCAAAGUUUAUUAUGUGCAUACCCUAUUUUUUUUAUUCUAGAUCCGCCACUGCUUCGGACGAGGUCGAUCAGAUAUAGUUCGUUAGUAUCUUCAAACCGCCUUGCAUGAUAAGCCAUCAUCCCACUAGAUAUCUCGAACAUUACCACUCCAAAUGAGUAUAUGUUGGACUCCUUAGAGAGCAUACCUCAUUCGUUGUAUAUCGGAUCCAUGUAAAACCUUGUACCAGCAGCUCUUGUACUGACAUGGGUAUCUGGCUGAUUUCUUGGACUUAAUCUUGACAAACCAAAAUCACAUAUUUUGGCUUCGAGAUUAUCAUCUAACAAUAUAUUUGCACUAUUGAAAUAUGUAUGAAUUACUCUGUUGUGCUCCUCAACACCCGAGUGAAGGUACUUGACUCCUUUUGCUGCCCCCAAACAUAUCUUCAGGUGUUGUUCCCAUGUUAGACAACGUCUCUUGAAAACUAUAAUUUUUUCGUUUGCAUCAUCACAGUAGCCAACAAAUGGGAUGAUGUUUGGAUGGUUGAAACUUGAAACCAAGUUGAGUUCUUUAGUGAACUCGUUGGUUCCUUGAUAACUAUUACGAUCAAGACGUUUGAUAGCUACUAAGUGGUUUGUCCAGCGUUCAGAGAGUUGUCCUCUGUACACGUUACCAAAUCCACCAUCUCCAACCCAAUUGUCUGAACUGAAGUUUUGUGUGGCCCGAAUGAUUUGGAAUUCGACAUUCUUCUAGGUUUACCUCUGAUGAAGACAUUCAUUUUUAUAUUGUUGAUGGAUUAAUAUGUAUGGUUAUGGUGGUAGCAGCUUUUCUGUCGAUAUAUAUAUAGAACCGAGUUUGCUUUAGAAGCGAGUUAUAACCGUUGACUAGCAUCAACUGCUUUAAAAGUUAAAUGAUGUAUCUUGUAUAUUUUAGCUUAUAAAAAUCAUAUAAUAGGUGUAAGUGUCAAAAUAAAGGUGAAAAUGAAAACUCGAAGUCAACAUAAUAAAAACAGAAUUUGGACUUUCCUCAACCGAACAUCAAACUGGACUUGGUAAUAGUGCACUUUUUAUAUUUAUUGUAUUCUCAACCCUGCAUGCGAUAAAUGCAUCCCAGUUGUAACUUUUAAACUGAGAUACAAACGUGUGGGUCAGCUAGCUAUGAAAGAGUCAAAUGAAAAUAGGAGGAUUUAUUAUGGCUGCUUUUUGCUCGAGGGUUAUAUAAUUAGAUGAUUCAGACAUAGACCAAGUCCAAGCGAAUUUUAUUCGUGUGAUUCCUUUUUUGAGUGUAAAGUGUAAGCAUAGUCGAACAAGCACGAUUACAGCGGAGUAUACGCUUCAUAAGGGUUAGACAACUACGUCAUUGAGUGCAGAGAAACCCUCUUAAAUUAAAUACUCUAUUUUGUUUUUAAGAUGUUAAAGUAAGUUUUAAUAUAAGAUGAUUUUAUAUAAAGUAGAAAAUUGCUAAAGUCGGAAGAUUGAUUGAGAGAUUACAAGUGUUGUAAUCAGAAGUGGUUAGGUUGCGACUCGCUGUGGUAAUUCUGAAAGUCAUGGACCUCUAUAUGUCCACGGGUUUUAUAUAUAUAUANAAAUUCUGGUCAUUAGAUAAAAAGAAUGAACGAAUGUGAUCAUAAGGUGCAUGUUAUUAACACGGACUACCACGUACCAUAUAAUUUCUAUUAUUAAAUAAAUAAGGUAACUAAAGAGAGAGAAUUGAAAAUAAUCUAUAUUUUAAGCAACUAAUUAAAAUUAAUUAAUAAAAAUCAAAUCUCCUAUUUUAUUCAACACAUUUAAGUUAAAACAUAUUUUUUUAGAAUACAUAUUCAUUCAUCAACACGUAUUUUGAUUCCUUUAUUUUUAAAGAAUGUGAAUUUAUUCAAUAGAUUUUUAUUGUUGCAUUCUAUAAAAAUACAAUUUUUUGAGAUUCAAUAUUUUUUUUAUUGUUUCAUUCCAUAAGAAUAUAAUUUUUUUAGAAGUAACAUUCUUAAAAAUACACAUUGUAUAUUAGCGCAUUUUUUCUUUUUUUCAAUUCUAAAGAAUACGAUUUCCAAAAAAAAAUCAUUCCUUCAUUCUUAAAGAAUACAAUUUUUUGAAAAGUAACAUUCUUAAAUAAUACAUUUGUAUAUAUUACACAAUAAUAUAUCAUUCUUUAAAACAAAUGUGUUGCAAUAUAAUUAAGAAUGCAUUAUAAAACAAUAACCGUACUUCUAACAUAAAAAAAAUUCAUAACAUAAAACAAGAAAAAAAAUAUAUAUAUAUAUAUAUAUAUAUAUAUAUAUAUAUAUAUAUAUAUAUGUGUGUGUGUGUGUGUGUAUGUAUGUGUAUNUAUAUAUAUAUAUACCAUUUUAAAAAAUAUACACAAUCUUUUAUAUUAAAUUCUUUAAGAAUCUAUCAUCAUUCUUGAAUACGUUGAUCUGGAAAUGUUUUGUAGCCACUAAACCAAAAUUUCCAUGAGAAAAUAAAUCAACGUGUAGCUCAACUCUACACAUGUGUCCUUAUUCUUUUAGAAUAUAUGAUAAAAUACUUCAGUAUCAGUUCAAUUAUAUCAUGACAUGCUUAAAAAAUGCUAAUAUGUAAGAAUGGAAUAAACAACAUUCUAAAACAAUAACAAAAAUAUCAAUUGCAUUAUCUAAAAACUUUUCCACUUCAUCUCUCAAUGGUUUUUCAAAACCAAUAUUCUGUUCUUCGAUAUUGCUAAGCUAUUUUAACAAUAUGCCUGCAAUUUUCAAAUAUACAUUAUAUUAGUAAACAUAUAUAUACAAUCUGUUUCAAUACCAAAUUCAUUCCAUCGUUUACAUUCUUAAAAGUUCAUCCAAAUACUUGUCUUUUAGCUAUUGUCAAGCUUUUUCCCUUUUUCCCAACUGUCCAUGUUUUUCAUAAUUAAAUUAACUUAUAAGUAUUUGAGAAACUAUACAUUAAAAGAAAAAACAUAUUUUAAAAAAUAAAUUUUAAAUCAAAAGCAUCAACAUAUAGGAAAAAAAACAUAACACCCAUCCAUCGAUUAAUGUAUCAUAGCUAAAUAGAGGAAUAUGGACAUGUAAUUGCCGUGAAACCUAUAGUUUUAGGUAUAACCAAUAGACUAAUUAGGUUACGAGAAACACACAAAAAAAUCAAAGAUUAUGAAAUUAUUAAUAUAUUGCAUAAGAAUUAAUGAACCAGCUUUGAUGAAUUGAUUUUAAGGCUACAAACAAUCUUAAUAAAAUCAUAAUCGUUCUAGUAUGAAAAAAAUGAUUUCAAAACCGUUCAUAAAAGACAACAAAAAGAUGAUUUAGGAAUCAUUCAAGCAAAACAAUUGUUCAAGAAUGAAAACGAAAGAGGAAAAAAACUUACCGGCAUUGGAGGAGGAAGACGAUCGGAGGGAGAUGUUAGGAUGAGGCGGCACUUCCAACUACGGUGGUGGAGAGGGAGGGUUUUUCCAAGACGGUAUAUAUGAAACUAAUAUGCCUAGUUUAUAGGAUUGUUAAUUUAUUUAAUUUUUUUACCAUAAUUAUGUAACGUUAAAAUUUCAAUUAUAUCCUUAUCAAAUGAGUGGUUCACAAUCAGUCACAUAUUCAUAUAAUAUUUGAUUAUUAUAUAUGAUCCUAACUCUCUAUCUCUCUCGUCACAUAUUUAUAUAAUAUUUGAUUAUUAUAUAUGAUCCUAACUCUCUAUCUCUCUCGUCACAUAUUUAUAUAAUAUUUGAUUAUUAUAUAUGAUCCUAACUCUCUAUCUCUCUCNNNNNNNNNNNNNNNNNNNNNNNNNNNNNNNNNNNNNNNNAUAUGACAAAAUUGCAAAAUGGUCCCUUGAGGUAUGAAUUGUUUUGAGGUUUUAGUUUAAAUCCUGACUUUUUUGGCUUCAUGGUCAUUUUGGCCAUGUUUGUAUAUAGAUUUGGUCCCUCGUAAAAUUGAAAUGACUAUAAUACCAUUCUAAUAUAUUUCUAUUUAAUUUAAUUGAAAAAGAAAAUAAUUAAUUAAUUUGGGCCCACCUCUCUUUCUCUCUCUCUCUCACAUACACACACACAUCGUGCUUCCAUUCCAUUACCUACCAGAUUCAAAACAUUCACCCAAAGAUCACCCCCUUGAUCUUAAGUUUUGCUGCUAUGUGAGUCUAAGCAUUGACGGUAUUAGUGGCGGCUCUCAAAUCCGCUUGUGGGCAUUUGGUCAGGUGAGUCCCCCCACUGCAAAUAAAAUGAUAUUUAGUGGCACAAAAAAGUGUCACUAAAAAUAAAAAUAAAAAGUGCCACUAAAACUCCCAUUUACAAUCAACGACACAAAAAAGAAGUGUCACUAGCAGCGCUCCCACUAAAGGCUUUUAGUGGCACUUUUUGGUUAUGUUGUUGUAGCCCUUUGGGUUUUAGCGACACUUUUUUUAUGCCACUAUCACACUUUUGGUUUUUGUAAAACUUCUUUAAUGAUACUAUAAGUGGUAAAAUAAAAAGCAAUCUUUAUGCUUUUAGGAUACUUUCUAUUAUCAUAAAAUAUUUAUAUUUAAUAAUUAGGUCCAUUUAUUUUAUUUAUAAAUUUAAAUGGAAAAACACAAAAUCUUUACUUAAGUUCAAAUUAAUUUCUCUAACAUUAAUAUUCUCAAUACAUAAAAUACAAAUAAGUUUAAAAAUUAAUAAAUCUAAAUGUUGUGCUAGUAUGAAAGAUUAGAAAACAAAGCAGAUCAUCAUUUGCAUAGUCUUUUGACCCUUGUGUGUUUGUGGAAUAAUUUGAAAUAGCUUGUAGGAAAUACAACAAAAGAAAACCAAUUAUAAUAAAAGUUAGUAUUAGUAUAUAAAGUUAUUAAUGCUAAUAAAUAAUCCAAAAUACGUUACCACAGUUAAGCAGCGUUGUUUGAAGAUGGAUCUAUCUUCUUCGUGUACUAAUAGGUAAGUUUCUGCAAGAAAAACAAGCAAGAAUAAAAAAAAAUGUAAUCAUGGUGUUGUACAUCAUGGCCUGUGUUAGUUUCAAUAAUGAAUUAGGUAUAUUUUAUAACUAACUUUCCAUCAUAACUUUAUUUGAUUUAGAGGUUGAAUGAACUCUUUAGCUACCGUGUAUGUGAUGUUACAGAUGGUAUCAUAGGAGUGGUGAAAGAUUGAUACUUAGAUGUACAUAGAAGAAAAAACUUCAACCAAUUUACAUGGGAUAAUAUUUGGGUUGAUAUUAUAUUCCUAAUCGGUAGUGAGAAUCAAGAAAUUAGAAUAUUAAAGCCUAAACCUUUUCAAGUUUGUCACGAUAUUUAAUUACAUCUUUUUUAUGUUUCUGAUUGAUACCCACAUAACCAAGUUUAUAAUGCUUUCAAAAUAAGCAUCACUAACAACUAACCUUAGAGUGAAUCGUUUAUCCUCAAAUUCCAUUUAUUUUCUCAAGAUAUCACUCCUAUUGUCGCCUUAUAUUGAUUGUUAAAUUUCUUUUCACAUUUCAAGAAAAAAAUUAAGAAAUAAGGAUAUUAAACUAUUAAUCCGAAAAAACGGAGAGAAAAAUAUUCAAAACUUACAUGGGGGAUUUUCUUUUCCUUUCUCUUCAAUUAUAUAAUUUCCUUCUCCCAAUAUCAAAACCUAUACAAAAUGAUUAUUGCAAUAGAAGGGGAUAAAUAAUAAUUAUGUUUGUUAAAUUGAAUUUACUAUUAAUGCGGGAUAUCAAAACCAAAACCAUCUUUACAACAUUAACAAACUAAAAAAAAAAAAAAAAAAAAAAAAAAAAAAAAAAAAUCAAUGUACGAAGUUAGGGCUAGAUACUGAGAAAAGUUUUGAGAAGGAAAUAAUCCAUACGUACAGUCAUCGAUUGAUGGUCAUGGCCAUAAUCAUUGUCACUCCGUUCACAAUCGCCUCCCUGACAACCACCUCUAUAACAUAAUCUUGCUUCCUCCUCCCUCCAUUGUGGUCGUCUAAAAGAAGAGAGAGAAAAAGAAGUAUGAAUUUCUUUUAAGAAGGGAAAAAAGAGCGACAUAUAUGAACAAGAAAAACCAAGCAGGAGUUGAAUUAAAAUCAACUUCCCAUUCUUCUAACCCCUUUUGAGAAAUGCAGAAGAUAAUGGAAUGCGUUUAGGGAUGAUGAUAUGUAGAAUUGAGAAGACAGAGAUGGAGAGCAAUUGAUCAGGGAAACUGUUAUCCUUGAGAAUCUUCACUCCGUCAGACAACAAGAUCUCGUUGUUUAAGGGAUGAACUCGGUGGAGCUGGGUGUGCUUCGGCCAAGUGGUCUAAAUAUCAGUCAACUUUAUUCAUUUGCUUAUGUAAUCUGUAGGGGGAAUGUAACUAUCAUUAUUCAAAUUCGAGCUCCAGCUCUUUCAAUUCAAGUUGUGUCGGAGGUUUUUCUUCGUCAGAAGCUGCAGGACGUCUCAUCAAGGCAUAAACCUAUCUGCAUAAACAAAUCGAAAUGAUGAAUACAGAAUGAAAGACAGAGGCGUGGCAGUGCUGCAUUUCUGGGUUGGGGUGGCUGACACAGGUGCAAUGAUUGUGACAGCUAGGGUUUCUGGAGGUGCAAUGGUGGUGAGACGGUAGUCCGAUUGUGCGGUUGUUGUAGUAAUAGUGGAAAAGAUGUGAUGGAGUGGUACACAGUUGAGGGAUGAUGAUGCGUAUUUUAAAAGGAGCAAUUCGCUGAUCUAUUUGGAAACUGAAUUUGCAGGGCUAAAAGGGUAGGAUGGGUGUUGAAAUUGUUUAUCCUUCUGUUCUUAUCAUCGAGUUUUCGUCUGAUUUCUUCCUUCAGAUUGGAUGUUGGUCAACACUAGAAGGAACUGACACUAUCGUUCGAGAUUUUAUAGAUUUUUCCUUCCAUACAGAGACUGAGAUCUCCUAAACUUUUGUUUUCUUUCAAGGUAGCUUCGAAUUAGUGGUAGUGUUACAAUUUUGGUGGCGGUGGUGCUCGAGAUUCACAUCGUUUUUUCAUGGAUGUGGGGGUGGUUCUGGUGUUUGGUGUUAUGUUCAUGAGAGAGAUAUGUUCUCUAUUAUUUUUAAUUAUUAAAAUAAAUAAAUAAAUAAAUAUUAAAUAUAAAAAAAUGAAAUAAAAAUGAAAAAUAAAUACAUUAUAGUCAUUUCAAUUUAUAGAUAAACUAUUUUCACAUACAAACUAAUCCAAAAUGACUACGAAACCAAAAAAGUCAUGAUUUGGAUUAAAAAUCCAAAAAAUAAUACCACAAGACCAUUUUUGUAAUUUUGUCUAACUAUAUAUCUAUAAGCGACAAAGACAAAUAAUAUAUAUAAAAAAUAAAUCAAAAAAGUAAACUAAAUUAAUAGUCAUAAUUGUUUAUUAUAUCUAACAACAAGAGUAUAUCCUUUUGGUUUCAUUCAAACUUUCUUAUGUUAUAUAUCAAAGACAUUAAAUCCAUAAAUAUGUAUAUUAUUUCUAGAUUCGCGUCAAUCUAUUUAUUCAAACAUAUAUUAUUCAGUAUGAUUUUAUUAUAAUAAAUUAAAUUAAUAGUUACAUUUGUUUAUUAUACUUAGGAGCAAGACAACUCAUGUCAAACAUAAUUGCUACAAAAGUAAUGCUAGCCUUUUUUUUUUAAAGUAGGUUUAGACGUUGAUUCUUCUAAUAUGUAGGUAGACUUUGGGGGUGUUUGGCUUAGCUUUUCAAACCCUAAAAGUCUUUUUUGGAAAAGUUACAAAAAGUCAGGAUUUUCUGACUUUUCCAAAAAGUUCAUUUUCCUUAUGUAAAAACUUCAAAAGUAGCUUCUAAAACUAGUUUGCCAAACAUCUUUUGUUUUUUUUUUUCUUUUCUAAAAAGGACUUUUGGCUGUGAAAAGUUAAGCCAAACACCCUCUUUGCCUGCAUACGCCAUAAGCAAGUUAACCUGAAGUUUAAAAAAAGGAAAAAGACAUACCUAAAUAUAAAUCAAAUGCAAGAGAAGCAGCGCAUUUUUCCAGUUGUAGCACCGACGGCCGAUGGUCAAGUUCGAUUAGAGCUUGAGACGGUCGGAGUUGUGAUCGCGAGCGACAUUAAAAAAUAAGCAGCGGCCGGUAUAUUUAGAGGCAACCGAUUUCUCGUCUCCAUCUUUUUUUUGUAGAUCUCUAUGAAACAUCACCAGAGCAAAUCUGGUUGAAGCACAAAGAUUUGAAGGCGAAAAGGAUAAAUUUAGAGGCAAAAAUUGUAUAUUUGUCGUUGUAGAUCAUAGAUCUAUUGCCAGAGAUAAUAGAUCUGGACCGAACCACUCUAGAUAUGAUGAAAACGAAAACUUUUGGAGGCCAACGACAUGCUUCGAUGGAAGGUGGAGGAGGAAGUUUGAGUAGAGCUGUUUUAUGGACAUCGACGGAGGUUGUAGAUCUUACCAGAUCUAGAUUAAGAAUACCACUAGAGAUGAGGAAACAGAGGCAUUAGAUCUAAAUAGAUCUAAGCAAAAAACACAAAAGAGAAUCGACGGAAUCACGUCACCGAAGACGAAAAAGCGGAGGUGGUGGUUCACCGCGAAUACGAGACAACGACGGGGGAGAUGAUGGCCGAUGGUGGUGCUUUGUGUUGGUGGG